AAACUUGUUGGGCUGGUAAUAUCCACUAAGGAGGCUUCAACAUCCUUGGCAUCCAUCACUGAUGGACCGUCUUCACUGCAUAUCUCAAGACUGCUUGCAGAAGCAUCUAAAACUAAGGCUACAGCUUCUAUAGCUGCUAUAUACCUUGUUAGAUUGAGUCUUGCAUGGAUUACAGGGAUCAUCCUUCUUGUCUCAACCCUCAUUGGGGUGAGCAUGCUUUCUCGUACUCUUGCCUAUUAUUGAUUAACUUUGUCGAAACGCAUCUCUGACGACACUAUGUGCUGAUUGUGCAGAUUUGCCUGCUCAUGAACAUGCCGCUUACCAAGGACACGCUCCUAUAUUCAAAUGUCAAAAUUGAUUAGUUUGUGCUGCAUAUGAAUUUUCACACGACGGCAAGGAAGUUUUCAACAGUCAUGCUUGGCUUUUUCCUUUGGACCCUGGGGUUUACAGUAGGGACACUGAGUCUGGGCUUGCUGUCCACCCUGUGUAGCAUAAACAUAUUGUUGCUAUGUGGAUCAUUCAUUGAGAACUGUAUACUGACACUGCUUGUAUGGGCUUCUCUUGCUUUUCCAUAAAUAAAUAAAAAUAGUUGAGGGGAGUGUAUUUUGUCAAUUUCAGCGAAUAUUGUACUGUAUUGUUGUAAAAUACCAGUAUGUGAACAAAUUUGCUACUUGGAUAUUCAUUGGGAUCACUUUAGUCUUAAUACAUGAUAUUGGAUGUUUGAUUUAUUGAGUUGAAAUUUCACAUAAAUUUAUUGAUCGUAUGUAGCUUUUGUGUGUUGCAACGAACCAAGAAUGAGUGCUGACUGGUCACUAUCCGCGUUGAUGUUUUUUUUUUGUGUGGGUACGUAAGUAAGUACUCCCUCCGUUCCUGAAUACAAGUCUUUUUAGAGGUUUUUAGUGGUUCUAUUAGAAGAUUACAUAUGUGUGUACAUAGACAGUGUAGAUUCACUUAUCUUGCUACGUAUAUAGUCUUUUAGUGAAAUCUUUAAAAAUACUUAUAUUUAAAAACGGAGGGAGUAAUUGAGAAAGUUAUACAAUGUCACUUUAACUGAACAAUGUGAGGAACAAAAAGAUAGGUACACCGCACUGAUUGCCACUGUCUAAAAUAUUUAAGAAAACAGGAACAUGCCGUUUCAUCUCACUUCUGGAUAGACAGAAUACCACUCACUGAAUGUACUCCCUUCGUUCCUAGACAUAAGUCUUUUAAAGAUUUCACUAAAGACUACAUACGGAAUAAAAUAAAUAAAUCUACACUCUAAAAUAUGUCUAUAUACAUCUGCAUGUAGUCCGUUAGUGAAAUCUUUAAAAAAACUAUAUUUAGGAACGGAAGGAGUAAUAAACUUCCGUCCGGUUAUUGCUCUGCUCCUGGCUCACCGUAUAACCAUGUUCACCCAUCUUGCUGCUCAUGCUAACUGCAGCUUCUAUUAGCCUGCUUGAAUUUUGCACUGAAAGAGGUAGAAAAUUAACAUAUGGAAAGAGAUACUAUGAGAAGAAACGGAUAGAAGAAAAAUAUACAUGCUUUAAAGUGGCAAAUCUUCCGAAGUUCAUUAAGAAAAAGAAUAAGAAACAUACCAUAUAUUUGUUUCACGAUUGACAUUACAAUGCAUAGAAGCACUAUUCGACAUGCAACAUAUCUGCACAGCUAGCAGAAACAGUCACCAUUGAAAACAUAUGUAAUAUAAUGAACUUGGUGGAUGUUAGCGAAAAGAAGAAAGCAAAAAGGCAUGAUUAUUGACAACUAUUCAGAAGCAAUGCAUUGAGAAAUUUAAAUGUCAUUAUAGCUAUGAAGUAUUAAGAUCCCUUAUAAGUAUGACAUUUAAAAAUAGUAGCUAUAACUUUUUGUUAGUUACUUGAUGCUAAUGCAUGUACUAUCGGUAAAAACUGGAUAAAUCAGACCAACACCGAAAUGCAGAAACAGUGCUUAUAUUAUAUAUUCUAACAUUGGGAGCAGAAUGGUUCAAAAAAAACGUUGGGAGCAAAAUAAUAUUCUAACAACACUUUCGAACUACACGCUCAACACGGGUGCACAACAUUGCCAAGCAAAGAGUACUGCAAUACCAAGACGAGUGAACUUCCCGUCGCAGAAAGAACUGCACGCAUUUUUUGACACCUUUUUUAUCUAGCUUUUAAACUGUUUGUUGGAACGAGGCUUAUGAUACGGCGUUAGAAAGCUAUGGAUUAUGCCCAACUUCGCCAUGUUGAACACUUUUCGAUAUUCCUUGCGGUUUAAGAGCGGUUUCAUAAACGGUGGGCGGUUGACAAGUGGCAGCGUGUGUGUUUUCGUGAUUUUUUCUAUGUCGUUCAUUGGAAUGAAGCAAACACUACGGCGUUGGAAGGAUAUCAUCGAGACGCAACUUUUUCAUAUAGAACACUCUCUUUAAUUCCUUACGACUUAAGAGUACUUUCAAAUUUACUCAAGCAUGUAAUUCAGUUUUUCAAAUUUUUCUAUGUUUUUGGUACGGUUUUGCUAUAGUUUUUUAACCUUUUGUUGGCAGGAGGCGUGUGAUACAGAGUUGGAAGCUAUGUAAUAGGCACAACUUUCAUAUGUUAGGUAUUCAUUGAGAUUCCUCACGGUUUUAAAUGAAUUUUGAAAACCGUGCGGCGGCCAACGAGUGUCAGCGAGCGUAUUUUUGUGAAUUUUCUAAACCUCUUGUCGGAAUGAUGCAAAUGAUACAGCGUUGGAAAGAUAUCGACGAUGCACAACUUUUUCUUGUAGAACACCCUCUCUAAUUCCUUACGGUUUAAGAGCGGUUUUGAAAUUACCGAAUGGGGACACUCUCUUUUUCGAGACACCAAAAUUGAUGCCUCAACCGCAUCAGACACAAGACCACACUGCUUCAAACUGAAAACCGCACUGCAUCCUAUGGACAAGCGAACUACAUGCUUUUUUUGUCACACGUAAAUUUUUCAAGCGAAGGAAGUUGAUCGCGCUUCACGUCGGGCGUAAAUGAACUUCAACACAAUUGAGAACUCAACCACACUACUUUUUUUGUACUACAAUGGCUGAGAAUACCGAACUGCAGGUUUUUAAUUUUUUUCAAAGUGAACCACACACAUUUUGCUACAAUGUAGUGCAAACUCCUCAACAAUAACCUUGUUAAUAUAGAGACGCACACGGAAAGUACACACGUGCAACAACCAAAAAAGUACUUAACCAUCGAGCUGCAAGGGUGGUGCUAAUGAUUUUUGAAUGCACACACAACUGAACCUAACCGCACUACACACACGACCAAAUUACAUCGGGGAAACCACAUGCCUGAGCGUCACGCCGCUGAAAUCCCGAACUGCACACGCCAAUUCACCAAACCGUAAUGGACUUCAUUACGAGUUGCUUGCCGUCGUCCGCCCGCGUGCGCUGCUAGGUGGUGCCUCGCGUCAGGAGGAGGAGGUGAGAUGGAGAAGGGGAAGAUGAAGGUCGACGGCAAGGUGGUGCACUACAAACUACGAGACCCCAUGCCCAAACUACAUGUGUUCUAUGGAACUGCGUGAGCCAUGCCCUGAAUUUCAUGCCCACUGCAUAGCGUACACUGAUGUCUACUACGCAAUUUUAUUCUUGUAGACUCUGUUGCCCCUCCAAGCGCAGAGUUUUUUAGGACAGUGGCAAUUUUCCUUCAAGUGGAUGACUUAAGGUUUAUCAAUCUGUGGGAGGUGUAGGAUGAAGAUUGUCUCUCUCGAACAACCGUGCAAUCAAAUACAAGAAAUCUCUUGUGUCACCAACACACCCAACACAAUGGUAAAUUGUAUAGGUGCACUAGUUCGGCGAAGAGAUAGUGAUACAAGUGUAGUAUGGUAGUAGAUAUAGGGUUUUUUUAAUCUGAAAAUAUAAAAACAGCAAGGUAGCAAAUGUAAAAAAACGAGCAAAACAUUGUAUAAAUGCUUGGUAAUAUGGCCUAGGGUUCAUACUUUCGCUAGUUCUCAACAAUGCUAACAUAAUAGAAUCAUAUGAUCACCCCUCAGCGUGCAACAAAGAAUCACUCCAAAUUUCCUAUCUAGCGGAGAACAAUAAGAUGAAAUUGGUGUAGGUAGUAGAACCGCCACUAGUAGAAAAGAGGCCUUUGGUUUGACGCAUUAGUCCGAGUUGGUUUUUGAACCGCGACUAAUGCUUCCACUAGUUCCAGUUCAUGAGGCUAGGCUUUUGUCCCGGAUUAUUAGAAACCUCUAGUCCCGGUUUGUGUUAAAAACGAGACUAAAGGGGUGGUGGCAGGGUUGCGCCAGGCUUGGGCCCUUGCGAGGGCCAUUAGUCCUGGUUGGUAAUACAAACCAGGACUAGAGAUAGAUCUCUGCUUUCUCUUUUCUCUCCUCCGUUCUCUUCCAUUGCUCGAGUUCAUUCUCAAUUUCUUCCUAGAUGUCGUUGUUUUGAUAUAGGGGUUACCCUGACGGCAUAUGCCAUGGGAUGGCUAAUCGAGGUGAGGGCAAGGCUGUCGUGGAUGAUCCGGGACGGGAUAGGGUAAUAGCACGCGGUGGUUUACCCAGGUUCGGGGCUCUCAGGAGAGAUAAUACCCCUACUCCUGCAUGUGUGUAUAUGAUGUAUAUUGGCAGUACAAGGUUGCUCCUGGAGCUGUAUUGGAGGAGGAAGAGAGUUGAGCGCUGUAACAACCAAGAUGUGGUCCUUUCCGAUCUGGGGGUCGAGGCCCCCGAAUAGGAAAGAAGCGCAUCUAAGCGUUUCGCAAGCAAGUAACAUAACACAAAUAAUAAUAAAAGUAGACAAUUCGGGAUUCGACUGUCUUCUUAUUAAAGCUCAGAGUACAACACAGAUACAAUCAAGGUAGUUCCGCUACGGACUACAAAACAUGGAAAAUGCUAUGCUACCCUGCUGCAGGCCCACGAUCACGACCACACCUCAGUCCUCUGGAUAGUUCACGUAGAGGUGGUCUGUCUCCUCGUCGUACUGCCACGCCAGCUGGGUGACGUCGGGAUCAUCUGCCUCUGGGGUACCUGUACCUGCUAGGAGUUUAGGAGGAAUCCGUGAGCCACGGGGACUCAGCAAUCUAAGACCUUGGUGCCAGAACUAGUCAUGUUAUUGGGUAAGGUAGGGGAGAAGUGUAUUAGGCUGCAGCAUCCUAUGCUUGAUUAAGUGGCUAACUUACGCAAAUUAGAAGUAAAGGUGGUCUACACUAACGGUCGGAUUUACUUGAUCACUAAGUGAUCUGAACACCUACCUACGGCGUUCAUAACCCCACCGUGUUUUCGAUCGAAGAGAGAUCUUCGAAGGGACAGUCACGGUUACGCACACAGUUGGCAGUUUUUAUUUAUUUAUGUUUAAGUUCUCUAAUACCGGAUGUUAUCAAAAUAUUCCAAAUUGCCACAUAACCGCGGGCACGGCUUUCCGAAAGAUUAAACCCUGCAGGGGUGCUCCAACUAGUCCAUCACAAACGAACACAGGCCGCAAAGGCAUCCUCUAUCACGAAUCUCGUGAUCUCGUCGGAUUCCUUAGAGGAAAACCUCAACUCUGGGGGAACCCAAAGCUUCACUGGGAUUCCUAUACGCAAGAUAUACCGCUUAGGUAAGGCAAGGCUAGCAGGACCUCCCGACGUGUCGACGACCCCGAUAAGAGCCGCGUAUCUCAGUCUCAGGACACGCCGGAUGGAACUAGCUACAGGUACCAAACCUCAAGUUUCCUUGUGGUGGCCCCGCAGGCAGACCAGUUGGGACCAACACUCAUGAGGAGCACUGGCCCGGGUUUGUUGAAUUAAAGAUCCUCGGGGUAGCUACUCCCUAUGCAGAUUAUUAUAAACUUGUUAGCAAAUUAACACCAAUGUUGGGUCCUGUCGGACAAGCCUUAGCACUAUGCGAUUUAUCGAGGGGUCUCCAUAACAACCCCGAACGUGUUAGGAGCGAUCAUUAUGGAAUCAAACACCGGUAGCCGGUAACUAAGGCGGCAAUAACGGAACAAAGAACCCGGCAAAAGGCUAGGCCUUCCGUCAUUUACCAAGUAUAUAGGUGCAUUAAAUAAAUAACAGAAUUUGAUAUGAUGAUAUCAAGCUCAUGUUAUCACAUGAGUCAAAACCCCUGCAACUAGCAACGCUAACAUAAGUAGCUGAGCAAGCCUACUUAGCCAUACAAGUUUGCUAGGAAGGAGUACGGUGUUUGGGCUCAUGGCAUAUGAAGAGACAAUUUAAUUUCAGUGGUAGGCAGCGAGCAAUUUGGCAUGGAAACGAAACUAACAUAACAAGUCUAGAGAUGGAAUCAAGGUCAUAUCAUCUUGCCUGUGAUAUCCUCAGCUUGGAAUGGUUCUGGAUCGUCCUGCACGUACUCUCCUGACUCCACGUAUUGCCCAACAUAAGAAUAACAGCCAAUGAACAGCAGCACCACAAGAUGCAACAAUCACAUGAUGCAUGAGAUGAAAAUUGAGCAUGCACCACUAUUUCUAUCACUAGCACAAGCAAAAUAAACUACUGCAAGUUUCUGGACAGAACUGUACACUAAGCUAUUUUGGCAUGCAUGAGAAUGACAUGAACAGAUGCAGCUCGUGAAAACGGUGCAAAACCAUAUAAAGAACAUCGCAAACGGAGCUACGGAUCAACGGGAAUCAACGAAACAAGAUAUGAAGCUCUACGUGGAAGAUUCAACACCACACACUCAAAUGGCACAAAUCUGGUAUUCCCAGGUUGCCAAGACCUGUAUCAUUCCAACAUGAAUGAAUUUGAGCAAGGAAGAACACCACAACAUCAAUCAAGCAAACACAUUGUUCAACAUGACAAAACUACCUAAUCUGCCUUAAUCUGCAUCUUAGCUCUUUGGGAGCUGCAUGCAACAUAGCUACAGGUCUUCAAACAUGACAAAUAAUAUAGGUGGCUGUUUCCAACCAAGAACACUACAAGCACCAGCAAGAAUCACAGAAAAAGGAAUUAAACUCUAGAAGAUACAAGGUCACAAACUUUCCCAAAACCAUCAGAUCUCAGGGACUUGGUGAAAAUUCCUGCACCUGAGUUUCUAUCUCUGUUCUGAAGCUUUUUGACAGCAAUCAAAACACAACCUACUGGACACCAAAUGAUUUGAAAAUUGACAGGAAGCUUCACAAACAUACCAGGUUCAAAAUCCUAGCACUGAACUAAGGCUAGUUCUCAACAUAAUGACCAGCACAUCCUCAUCUAUAAGAGAAGAAAAUGUUUCCAGCAUCCCAGACUUAGUGAAAUUUCAGAGUUCACUAAUCUGGAAUUUUUCAGCCACAUGCCCACUUUGUCUAGGCAUAGUAUGCACACACAUAACACCAAGAGGUAAUUGACACCACUAUGGUGUAGAGCAAAACCCCUACUACUAACACACAAAAACUCAUGCCCUUGGCCUCCACCUAUUCCAUGGAAUCAAAGAUCAAACUUGCUACAAAUCUGAAUAUGCAACUCCAUAAAGUACCCUUCUAAGACGACAACUACAAAGGUAGGGUUCAUGUGCACAAUGACAAAGUGACAUGGGGGUUUGAACCCCAUGUUUGUGUCAUGCACAUCAACAUCACAAGCAUAUCUACCAAACUAUCCCCACACACAAACCCCAUGCCCUCUCACAUAUAGACAUGUGAAGGUGCAUAGUUUUGCAAAGGUGGGGAAGUUCCACACACACACAUAUACUCCACAUCAUUCACAUCAACAUCAUUCUCUAGAUCAACACACAAACCUACACAUACUAAACAUGGCUUGCACACACACACACUACAUAUAUGACCAACACCAAAAUAUACUAGGCUACACAAGUUGCAACAGAGAGGAGGAAACAAAUAACUGCCACAUGAUGUAGCAAUAACAUGGCAUCACAUCUAGCAAUACAAGAGAAAACAACAAGGGAAACAAAAACAACAAAAAUAAAAGGGGUGAGGGGGAAUCGAACCCUGCACCCUCUGCUAGCACCCCCAACAGCAUUACCACUCUACUGCAGUCUCUAGUUCGAUAGCAACAAGGGAAAGAUCAAGUUAUAUAGCAAGUGCAGCUAUUGCAUGCCACUAUGCCAAGAAGCAGGAACUAAAAAGGGGGCAAGCUGGGAUUCGAACCCACACCCUCUCGAAGACAAACACCUGCUAUACCACUGCGCUACGACAUGGUGAUUGACAGAACAGGGAUCUGAAACAGGUAAGCUAACAUGACACCCCCUCUGCCUACAGAGAACACCAGCGACAGGGAGUUCGCCGGGGUGUUCUCUGGGGUUGCUGCUGCGCUGCGCUACCGGAGGCGAGCCCCCUACACGUCCAGCGUUACCUACGGGGGGAAAGAACCUCUGCUACAUGUAACACCGAAACCACCACGCCUCUACUCGAUCUGCUGCUGUUGCGCUACCGGACGAGACUACUACUGCACGGAGGUGCGCCGGCAACAGGGAGGCCGCCGGUGCACCGCACUGCUGUUGCUGCCGCUGCUGUGCGCGGGGAGAUCAAGGCGCUAUGCUGCUGCACCACGAGGAGGGCGACUUCCUACUGCUACUGCUACUGCAUGCACCACGAAAAGCUCCAGACUGCACGUACACUUGCUGCAGACGCACGGCACGGCUACCUGCAACCGGCUCGUCGGAACCAACGAGGGAGAAGGGAAGAGAGGGCCUUGCUCACCUCGGGGGAAGAAGGACGAGCCGCUCGGGAGGAAGACGCCGACGGUUCGCUGCUGGCGACGAAGUAGAGGAAGACGACGGGAACUCCGGGGCCGAGGCGAUGGCGCGCUCCUGGCCGACGUUGUGGUCGCCCCUCGUCCUCAACGCUGGUGGGAAUGGGUCGCGGGGAGUCUCCCCGAGCCCGUGGACAUGGCCACCGGCGCCGGAGAUGGCGGGAGGACGGCGUAGACGCGGCGGAGCUCCUCUGCUUCUCUCUGCUACUAGCUACAGGAGACUUACAGAGAAGAAAGAGGAGAAAGGAGGGAGGUGGCGGCGCUGGGGAGAAGGAGAGGGAACCCUAGGGGAGGAGGAGGGUUCCCUCCACCUUAUAUCACCUCGGGGAAGACGCUGGAGCCACAGGAUUAAGGGGAGGCGAUCGAGAGGUGGAGCUGCGUUCAUACGUGCAUGACGUCGGGAGGAAGAAGAGGGGUCUCGCGUGGGCUGCUACACUGCUCGAAGGGGUAUGGGCCUAGGAGAGAAACUGGGCCUCUCUGGGUGGGAGGGAGCCCACCAGAGAAGGAAGAAAUAAAACAGCCUUGGCAUUAUUCCUAAUUAGGUAAAAAAACAGAGAAAGAAAAGAAACCCUCACGACUACUGCUGAUAGUAAAAAUCAAAACAAAAAUGACCCUGGGCCUAAAAAUACCUAAGCUUUUAAAAUAAAAUGCUAAAGGAAUUUUAUGGGGCAUUUAAAUAAAUACAAAACAGCAAUUAAUUAUACUGUUUUGUGAUUUAUAUACACCCUCAAGACCAAAAUAAAACUCCACAUCAUCAUCCCCACAAUAACCUCUAAGUACAAGACAUUUUAAAACAGCUCUUGUGAAGAUGGAAUUUGAACAUGAGAAAAUAGGAGAGGAAAAGGGUUUGAAAGUUGCAAUGGGCUUUGAAAAUCCCAAGCAACCACUCCUACACUCCACACACCAUCAUCACAUGACAUCACACAUGAAAUCACAAGGUAGCUAACCACAAGAUCACCACCUACAUCUAUUACUAACACCACAAGAAAUCAUAGUGCAACAACUCAGGUAAGGGCAUGCAAUAAUAUGCUAUGCAUGCAUGCAUGAGAAGGAAAUAGAAGGAACACACAUGAAAUCAUGGUAUCAACUUUAACAUCAUAAUCUCUGACAAGGUGGUCCCACAUGAAGUAGGUCCAAAAAGGGAAGGUUCUACACUUGGGGCAUUACAAGCGCCUCCUCCUUGGCCUCAUGUCUCAGUGUGUGUAUGUGGGGGGGCCGAGAGCCUGAGAGAGUGAGAGGGCAGCCUAAGGCCUUUUGUAUGGAUGUGCAGCUUGGCUACGGUGGGUAGCUUACAUACCAAGCUGCUUGGCAUGUAAGCUACGGUGGGUAGCUUACAUACCAAGCUGCUUGGCAUGUAAGCUACCAUGGGUAGCUUACAUGCCAAGCUAUAUGCAGCUUGGGACCUAAGCUAUGCUUGUCCCCUGGGGCACUUUAUAAACCAGCGCCCAGGGGACAAGUUACACUGUAGAUGAAGAAGUACGACGCCUGAGAGGAUGUCGUAGUUGACUACGACUAGUCGUCGGGCUAGCGUAGCUGGCUGGACAGAGGAGCUGGCCGGAGCGGGCAGGCACCCCGCUCGACUCCGCCUCUUUGGGGUACCUCGGGAUUAUCCCCCCCCCCCCCCCCACACUAGAUUUGUCAAGAUUUGAGCGUCCCAUCCAUCCAAGUGUUCACAAAGGUUAGCAACUUUGUCCUUUCAUCUCUCAUUGCUAGAUUUGUUGGAAAUAUGCCCUAGAGGCAAUAAUAAAUUAGUUAUUAUUAUAUUUCUUAGUUCAUGAUAAUCGUUUAUUAUCCAUGCUAUAAUUGUAUUGAUUGGAAACAUAGUGCAUGUGUGGAUACAUAGACAAACCACUGUCCCUAGUAAGCCUCUAGUUGACUAGCUCGUUGAUCAAAGAUGGUCGAGGUUUCCUGACCAUAGGCAAGUGUUGUCACUUGAUAACGGGAUCACAUCAUUAGGAGAAUAUGUGAUGGACUAGACCCAAACUAAUAGACGUAGCAUGUUGAUCGUGUCUUUUUGUUGCUACUGUUUUCUGCGUGUCAAGUAUUUGUUCCUAUGACCAUGAGAUCAUAUAACUCACUGACACCGGAGGAAUGCUUUGUGUGUAUCAAACGUCGCAACGUGACUGGGUGACUAUAAAGAUGCUCUACAGGUAUCUCCGAAGGUGUUCGUUGAGUUAGUACGGAUCGAGACUGGGAUUUGUCACUCCGUGUGAUGGAGAGGUAUCUCGGGGCCCACUCGGUAAUACAACAUCACACACAAGCCUUGCAAGCAAUGUGACUUAGUGUAAGUUGCGGGAUCUUGUAUUACGGAACGAUUAAAGAGACUUGCCGGUAAACGAGAUUGAAAUAGGUAUGCGGAUAAUGACGAUCGAAUCUCGGGCAAGUAACAUACCGAAGGACGAAGGGAAUGACAUACGGGAUUAUAUGAAUCCUUGGCAGUGAGGUUCAAACGAUAAGAUCUUUGUAGAAUAUGUAGGAUCCAAUAUGGGCAUCCAGGUCCCGCUAUUGGAUAUUGACCGAGGAGUCACUCGGGUCAUGUCUACAUAGUUCUCGAACCCGCAGGGUCUGCACACUUAAGGUUCGACGUUGUUUUAUGCGUAUUUGAGUUAUAUGGUUGGUUACCGAAUGUUGUUCGGAGUCCCGGAUGAGAUCACGGACGUCACGAGGGUUUCCGGAAUGGUCCGGAAAUGAAGAUUGAUAUAUAGGAUGACCUCAUUUGAUUACCGGAAGGUUUUCGGAGUUACCGGGAAUGUACCGGGAAUGACGAAUGGGUUCCGGGUGUUCAUCGGGGGGGCAACCCACCCCGGGGAAGCCCAUAGGCCUUUGGGGUGGCGCACCAGCCCUUAGUGGGCUGGUGAGACAGCCCAAGAAGGCCCUAUGCGCCAUAGGAAGAAAAUCAAAGAGGAAAAGGAAAAAAAGGAGGAGGUGGGAAAAAGGGGAAGGACUCCUCCUUCCAAACCUAGUUGGAUUCGGUUUGGAAGGGGAGGACUCCCCCCCUUGGCUCGGCCGACCCCCUCAAGGCCAAGGGAAGGCUCCCCCUAUCCCACCUAUAUAUACGGAGGUUGUAGGGCUGAUUUGAGACAACUUUUGCCACGGCAGCCCGACCACAUACCUCCACGGUUUUACCUCGAGAUCGCGUUUCUGCGGAGCUCGGGUGGAGCCCUGCUGAGAUUAGAUCACCACCAACCUCCGGAGCACCGUCACGCUGCCGGAGAACUCAUCUACCUCUCCGUCUAUCUUGCUGGAUCAAGAAGGCCGAGAUCAUCGUCGAGCUGUACGUGUGCUGAACGCAGAGGUGUCGUCCGUUCGGCACUAGAUCGGAGCGGAUCGUGGGAUGGAUCGCGGGACGGUUCGUGGGACGGUUCGCGGGGCGGAUUGAGGGACGUGGGGACGUUCCACUAUAUCAACCGCGUUUCUUACCGCUUCUGUUGUGCGAUCUACAAGGGUACGUAGAUCGGAAAUCCCCUCUCGUAGAUGGACAUCACCAUGAUAGGUCUUCGUGCGCGUAGAAAAUUUUUUGUUUCCCAUGCGACGUUGCCCAACAAUGGUAUCAGAGCUAGGUUCAUGCGUAGAUGUCUUCUCGAGUAGAACACAAAAGUUUUUUGUGGGCGGUGAUGUGCGUUUUUCUGCCCUCCUUAGUCUUUUCUUGAUUCCGCGGUAUUGUUGGAUCGAAGCGGCUCGGACCGACAUUACUCGUACGCUUACGAGAGACUGGUUUCAUCGCUACGAGUAACUCCGUUGCUCAAAGAUGACCGGCGAGUGUCGGUUUCUCCAACUUUAGUUGAAUCGGAUUUGACCGAGGAGGUCCUUGGAUGAGGUUAAAUAGCAAUUCAUAUAUCUCCGUUGUGGUGUUUGCGUAAGUAAGAUGCGAUCCUACUAGAUACCCAUGGUCACCACGUAAAACAUGCAACAACAAUUAGAGGACGUCUAACUUGUUUUUGCAGGGUAUGCUUGUGAUGUGAUAUGGCCAACGAUGUGAUGUGAUAUAUUGGAUGUAUGAGAUGAUCAUGUUGUAAUAGUUAAUAUCGACUUGCACGUCGAUGGUACGGCAACCGGCAGGAGCCAUAGGGUUGUCUUUAAACUAACGUUUGUGCUUGCAGAUGCGUUUACUAUAUUGCUAGGACGUAGCUUUAGUAGUAAUAGCAUGAGUAGCGCGACAACCCCGAUGGCGACACGUUGAUGGAGAUCAUGGUGUGACGCCGGUGACAAUAAGAUCGUGCCGGUGCUUUGGUGAUGGAGAUCAAGAAGCACAUGAUGAUGGCCAUAUCAUGUCACUUAUGAAUUGCAUGUGAUGUUAAUCCUUUAUGCACCUUAUCUUGCUUAGAACGACGGUAGCAUUAUGAGGUAAUCUCUCACUAAAAUUUCAAGACGUAAUUGUGUUCUCCCCGACUGUGCACCGUUGCGACAGUUCUUCGUUUCGAGACACCACGUGAUGAUCGGGUGUGAUAGACUCAACGUUCACAUACAACGGGUGCAAAACAGUUGCACACGCGGAACACUCGGGUUAAGCUUGACGAGCCUAGCAUGUGUAGACAUGGCCUCGAAACACAUGAGACCGAAAGGUCGAGCAUGAAUCGUAAAGUUGAUAUGAUUAGCAUAGAGAUGCUUACCACUGAAACUAUUCUCGACUCACGUGAUGAUCGGACUUGAGAUAGUGGAUUUGGAUCAUGUACCACUCAAAUGACUAGAGAGAUGUACUUUUUGAGUGGGAGUUCUUAAGUAAUAUGAUUAAUUGAACUAAUUGUCAUGAACAUAGUCUAAUGGUCUUUGCGAAUUACGAUGUAGCUUGCGCUAUAGCUCUACUGUUUUUUAUAUGUUCCUAGAGAAAAUGUAGUUGAAGGUUGAUAGUAGCAAACUUUGCAGACUGAGUCUGUAAAACUGAGGAUUGUCCUCGUUGCUGCGCAGAAGGCUUAUGUCCUUAAUGCACCACUCGGUGUGCUGCACCUCGAGCGUCGUCUGUAGAUGUUGUGAACAUCCGACAUACACGUUUCUGAUGACUACACGAUAGUUCAGUACAAAAUACUUAAUGGCUUAGAAGCAAGGCGCCGAAGACGUUUUGAAACAUCACGGAACAUGAGAGAUGUUCUAAAGAGAUGAAAUUGUGAUUUCAUGCUUGUGCCCUUGUUAAGUGGUAUGAGACCUCCGACAAGAUUCUUUGUCCACGAAGUAAAGGAGAAAAGCUCAAUCGUUGAGCGUGUGCUCAGAUUAUCUGAGUACGACAAUCGCUUGAAUCAAGUGGGAGUUGAUCUUCCAGAUAAGAUAGUGAUGGUUCUCCAAAGUCACUGCCACCAAGCUGUGAGAGCUUCGUGAUGAACUAUAACAUAUCAAGGAUAUAUACAAUGAUCCUUGAGCGAUUCACGAUGUUUGACACUGCGAGAGUAGAAAUCAAGAAGGAGCAUCAAUAGUUGAUGGUUAGUAAAACCACUAAGUUUCGAGAAAGGCAAGGGCUAGAAGGGAUACUUCGUGAAAUGGCAAAGCAGUUGCUGCAUUAAUGAAGAGACCCCAGAUUAAACCCAAGCCCGGGACUAAGUGCUUCUGUUAUGAGGGGAGCAGCCACUGAGGCGGAGCAACUCUAGAUACUUGGUAGAUAAGAAGGUUGGCAAAAGUCGAAAGAAGUAUAUUUGAUAUACAUGAUGUUGGUGUGUACUUUACUAGUACUCCUAGUAGCACGAGGGUAUUGGAUACCGGUUCGGUUGCUAAGUGAUUAGUAACACGAAAUGAAAGCUACGGCAUAAACGGAGACUAGCUAAAGGCGAGGUGACGAUACGUGUUGGAAGUGUUUCCAAGGUUGAUAUGAUCAAACGUCGCACGCUCCCUCUACCAUCGGGAUUGGUGUUAAACCUAAAUAAUUGUUAUUUGGUGUUUGCGUUGAGCAUGAACAUGAUUGGAUCGUGUUUGUUGCAAUACGAUUAUUCAUUUAAAAGAAUAAUAGUUAUUCUAUUUGCUUGAAUAAUUACCCUCAAUGGUUUAUUCAAUCUCGAUCGUAGUGUUACACAUAUUCAUAAUAUUAGUGCCAAAAGAUAAAAGGUAAUAAUGAUAGUACCACUUAGUUGUGGCACUGCCACUUGAGUCAUGUUGGUGUAAAAUGCAUGAAGAAGCUCCAUGUUGAUGGAUCGUUUGGACUCACUUGAUUUUGAAUCACUUGAGACAUGCAAAACAUGCCACGUGAAACAAGUAGAGUAACUUGUUGGGAGUAAUGCAUUUUUGAUGUGUGCAGUCCAAUAAGUGCUAAGGCACGCAGUGGAUAUCAUUAUGUUCUUACUUCACUAACGAUUUGAGUAGAUACAAGAGUAUUUACUUGAUGAAUCACAAGUCUGAAAUGUUGAAAAGUUCAAAGCUAUUUUAGAAUGAAGAUCGUCGUGACAAGAGGAUAAAUAGUCUACGAUAUGAUCAUAGAGAUGAUAUCUGAGUUACGAGUUUUGGUACGCAGUUAAGACAAUGUGGAAACUGUUUCGCAGUUCAUGCCACCUGGAACAUCAUAGUGUGAUGAUGUGUCUGAACGUCAUAGCCACGCACUAUUUGGUAUGGUGCAUGCUAUGAUGUCUCUUAUCGAAUUACCACUAUCGUUUAUGGGUUAUGCAUUAGAGACAACCGCAUUCACUUUAAAUAGGGCAGCGCGUGUUUCCGUUGAGAUGACACAGUAUAGACUGAGGUUUAGAGAAAUCUAAACUAUCGUUUCUUGAAAGUUUGGGGCUUCGACACUUAUGUGAAAAAGUUUCAGUCUGAUAAGCUCGAACCCAAAGCGGAUAAAUGCAUCUUCAUAGGAUAUCCAAAACAGUUGGGUACAUCUCCUAUCUCAGAUCCGAAAGCAAAGUGUUUGUUUCUAGAAACGGAUCCUUUCUCGAGGAAAGGUUUCUCUCGAAAGAAUUGAGUGGGAGGGUGGUAGAACUUGAUGAGGUUAUUGAACCAUCACUUUAACUAGUGUGUAGCAGGGCACAGGAAGUUGUUCCUGUGGCGCCUACACCAAUUGAAGUGAAAGCUGAUGAUGGUGAUCAUCGAGCAUCGGAUCAAGUUACUACAAACCUCGUAGGUUGACAAGGUCGCGUACUACUGCAGAGUGGUACGGUAACCCUGUCUUGGAGGUCAUGUUGUUGAGCAACAGUGAACCUACGAGUUAUGGAGAAAGCAAUGGUGGGCCCGGAUUCCGACAAAUGGCUGGAGGCCAUGAAAUCCGAGAGAGGAUCCAUGUAUGAAAACAAAGUGUAGACUUUGGAAGAACUACUUGAUGGUCAUAGGACUAUUGAGUAAAGAUGUAUCUUUAAAAGGAAGACAGACGAUGAUGGUGAUAAGUCACUAUUAAGAAAAGCUCGACUUGUCGCAAAGAUGUUUCCGACAAGAUCAAACAGUUGACUAUGAUGAGACUUUCUCACUCGUAGCGAUGCUGAAAGUCUGUUAGAAUUAUGUUAGUAGUUGUUGCAUUGUUUAUGAAAUAUUGCACAUAGGAUGUCAAAACAUUGUUUCUUCGACGGUUUCCUUGAGCAAACAUUGUAUGUGAUACAACCAGGAGGUUUUGUUGAUCCUAAAGAUACUAGCAAGUAUGCAAGCUCCAGCGAUCCUUCAAUGGACUGGUGCAAGCAUCUCGGAGUUGGAAUAUACACUUUGAUGAGAUGAUCAAAGAUUUUAGGUUUGUACAAGGUUUAUGAGAAACUUGUAUUUCCAAAGAAGUGAGUGGGAGCACUAUAGAAUUUCUGAUAAGUAUAGGUGGUUGACAUAUUGUGGAUCAGAAGUAAUGUAGAAUUUCUGUAAAGCAUACAAGGUUGUUUGAAAGGAGUUUUCAAAGGAAUACCUGGAUUGCGCUACUUGAAUGUUGAGCAUCAAAGAUCUAUGAAGAUAGAUCGAAAGCGCUUAAUAGAAGUUUCAACAAGAUGCAUGCCUUGACAAGUUUUUUGAAGGAGUUCAAAAUAGAUCAGCAAAGAAGGAGUUCUUGGUUGCGUUGUGAGGUGUGAAUUUGAGUAAGACUCAAAACCCGACCCCGGCAGAAUAAAUAGAAUAGACGAAGGUCGUCUUCUAUGCCUUGGCUGUAGAAUCUGAAGUAUGCCAUGCUGGGUACCGCACCUGAUGUGUGCCUUGACUCAAAGUCUGUUGAGAGGUACAUAGAGUGAUCCAUGAUUGAAUCACUAGCAGCGGUCAAAAUUUAUCCUUAGUAACUGAUGGACUAAGGAAUUUUUCUCGAUUAUGGAGGUGGUUAAAGAAUUCAUCGUAAAGGGUUACGUCGAUGCAAGCUUUGACACUAAUCCGAAUAACUAUGAGUAGUGAAACAGAUUCGUAUAGUAGAGUAGAUAUUUGGAGCAUUUCCGAAUAGCACGUAGUAGCGGCAUCUAUAAGAUGACAUAAAGAUUUGUAAAGAACGCACAGAUCUUAAAGUUUCAGAACCGUUGACUAAAACCUCUCUCACGAGCAAGACGUGAUCAGACCCCAGAACUAUAUGGGUGUUGGAUUCGUUGAAAUCACAUGGUGAUGUGAACUAGAUUAUUGACUCUAGUGCAAGUGGGAGACUAUUGGAAAUAUGCCCUAGAGGCAAUAAUAAAUUAGUUAUUAUUGUAUUUCUUAGUUCAUGAUAAUCGUUUAUUAUCCAUGCUAUAAUUGUAUUGAUUGGAAACACAGUGCAUGUGUGGAUACAUAGACAAAACACUGUCCCUAGUAAGCCUCUAGUUGACUAGCUCGUUGAUCAAAGAUGGUCGAGGUUUCCUGACCAUAGGCAAGUGUUGUCACUUGAUAACGGGAUCACAUCAUUAGGAGAAUCAUGUGAUGGACAAGACCCAAACUAAUAGACGUAGCAUGUUGAUCGUGUCUUUUUGUUGCUACUGUUUUCUGUGUGUCAAGUAUUUGUUCCUAUGACCAUGAGAUCAUAUAACUCACUGACACCGGAGGAAUGCUUUGUGUGUAUCAAACGUCGCAACGUGACUGGGUGACUAUAAAGAUGCUCUACAGGUAUCUCCGAAGGUGUUCGUUGAGUUACUAUGGAUCGAGACUGGGAUUUGUCACUCCGUGUGACGGAGAGAUAUCUCGGGGCCCACUCGGUAAUACAACAUCACACACAAGCCUUGCAAGCAAUGUGACUUAGUGUAAGUUGCGGGAUCUUGUAUUACGGAAUGAGUAAAGAGACUUGCCGGUAAACGAGAUUGAAAUAGGUAUGCGGAUACUGACGAUCGAAUCUCGGGCAAGUAACAUACCGAAGGACGAAGGGAAUGACAUACGGGAUUAUAUGAAUCCUUGGCACUGAGGUUCAAACGAUAAGAUCUUCGUAGAAUAUGUAGGAUCCAAUAUGGGCAUCCAGGUCCCGCUAUUGGAUAUUGACCGAGGAGUCACUCAGGUCAUGUCUACAUAGUACUCGAACCCGCAGGGUCUGCACACUUAAGGUUCGACGUUGUUUUAUGCGUAUUUGAGUUAUAUGGUUGGUUACCGAAUGUUGUUCGGAGUCCCGGAUGAGAUCACGGACGUCACGAGGGUUUCCGGAAUGGUCCGGAAACGAAGAUUGAUAUAUAGGAUGACCUCAUUUGAUUACCGGAAGGUUUUCGGAGUUACCGGGAAUGUACUGGGAAUGACGAAUGGGUUCCGGGUGUUCACCGGGGGGGGCAACCCACCCCGGGGAAGCCCAUAGGCCUUGGGGGUGGCGCACCAGCCCUUAGUGGGCUGGUGGGACAGCCCAAGAAGGCCCUAUGCGCCAUAGGAAGAAAAUCAAAGAGGAAAAGGAAAAAAAAGGAGGAGGUGGGAAAAAGGGGAAGGACUCCUCCUUCCAAACCUAGUUGGAUUAGGUUUGGAAGGGGAGGGCUCCCCCCCUUGGCUCGGCCGACCCCCUUGGGGCUCCUUGAGCCCCAAGGCAAGGCUCCCCCUCUCCCACCUAUAUAUACGGAGGUUUUAGGGCUGAUUUGAGACAACUUUUGCCACGGCAGCCCGACCUCAUACCUCCACGGUUUUACCUCGAGAUCGCGUUUCUACGGAGCUCGGGUGGAGCCCUGCUGAGAUUAGAUCACCACCAACCUCCGGAGCGCCGUCACGCUGCCGGAGAACUCAUCUACCUCUCCGUCUCUCUAGCUGGAUCAAGAAGGCCGAGAUCAUCGUCGAGCUGUACGUGUGCUGAACGCGGAGGUGCCGUCCGGUCGGCACUAGAUCGGAGCGGAUCGUGGGACGGAUCACGGGACGGUUCGUGGGACGGUUCGCGGGGCGGAUCGAGGGACGUGAGGAUGUUCCACUACAUCAAUCGCGUUUCUUAACGCUUCUGCUGUGCGAUCUACAAGGGUACGUGGAUCGGAAAUCCCCUCUUGUAGAUGGACAUCACCAUGAUAGGUCUUCGUGCGCGUAGGAAAUUUUUUGUUUCCCAUGCGAUGUUCCCCAACAAGAGUAGCUCGUGCAAUGCUCUAUAAUUAUAGUGAUUUGUGGGUUUUAGUUUGGGAGUAAUUAUGUGGGAGUUUAUUUGAUUUAUAUGCAAUUUGAGCCCAAAUUAACUUUUUAGUUUGCAUAUGUGUAGGUGUGGUUUACUUAGUGUCUUCUCGUUCCCAUCCUAACCACUGUCGAUCGCCAGCACCAUCUCGUCGCCGGCACUACCUUGGUGAUCCUCUUCUUCUUAUCCUUUUUAUUCCAAAAAAUCUUAUUUGUAUGAUUCAGAUAGUUUUCUUACCUAUAUGAUUAUUUGUUAUACGUGUGUAUGAACUCUAUGUGUGAACUUGUAUUAAUUUGUUUCGGUCUUGUGUAAUAAAUAUGAAUUGGCAAUGGAUGUACAAUGACCGACGCUCUCCCCAGUUCAUUGAUGGCUUGCAGAGUUUCUCUGUGCGACUUAGGCAAACCAGUUGGAUGGUUUUAUGCCUUGUCCAUGUGUUGUGUGUAAGAAUGAUAAAACUUACUCUAAGUCAAGAGUCAUUCACGUCCACCUGUUUACGUCCGGUUUCAUGUCCGGCUAUAACUGUUGGACCAAGCACGGAGAAAGAAGGGGUUCCAAUGGAAGAGAAUGAAGAAGAAGAGGACUAUCCUUUGUACCUAAGCCAUUAGUUGAUCAUAUACUUCAUAUGGUCAAGGAUUUAAAACUAAUUUUUGGAAACGGUCAUGGCGGAUAAUCUAUUCCGAAUGACGCUGACGGACACACACCUAUGUGGAAUAAGAAAUUUAUAUUUUGGGACCAACCUUAUUGGAAAGUCAUAAAGGUCCGCUCUACAAUCGACACGAUGCACGUGACGAAGAAUCAUUGUGUGAACCUGCUAGGAUUCUUGGGUGUGUAUGGGAGGAUAAAAGAUACACCGAAGGCACGGGAGGACCAGCAACGUAAGCCCAAAAAAGACGGCAUGCAUUCAAAACAGUAUGAAGGUCCUGCCAGCUACGCUCUUACCAAAUAAGAGAAAGAAAUUUUCUUUGAAUCUGUGCUCAGUAUGAAGGUCCCGUUUGGCCCUGAAAUUAAAAAGCGCUACAAAUGAAUUCUGAAAUGGCUGAAACUUGGCAUGGUAUCAUCAUUUCACCCGCAUGGCAUGGGAUAAAAAUUUGGGAGGGUUACGGCAAAAACUGGAUGCACUUCGUGUAUAAAAUGGACAAUCUUUCCCGAAGUAUCACGGCUUCACACAAAUACUCAUCUCUUACAAAGGCAUUUAAUUUUUCAACUUAUUUCAACUCCAUACUUUUUGUGCGAUCAAUAUGCAUCAUUCAAAACCACUUCAUCAAUUUUCAACCGUUUCUCACCUCAUUUGAUAUUUUUCAUGCAUUUAAUGUUUUUUUAAUCUAAAUGACCCUGGAAUUGAAAAACGCUACAAAUGAACUGUGAAAAGGCUGAAACUUGACAUGGUAUCAUCAUUUCACCCACAUAGCAUGGGCUAAAAAGUUGGGAGGGUUACGGCAAAAACUGGAUGCAUUUAGUGUACAAAAUGGACAAUCUCUUUCGAAGUAUCACAAUUUCGAGCGAAUACUCAUCUCUUACAAAGGCAUUUCACUUUUUUAACUUAUUUCAACUCCAGAAUUUUUGUGCGCUCAACAUGCAUCAUUCAAAGCCACGUCGUCAAUUUUCAACCCUUUCUCACCUCAUUUGCUAUUUUCAUGGAUUUAAUGUUUUUUGAGCUAAAUGACCCUGAAGUUGAAAAGCGCUACAAAUGAACUCUGAAAAGGCUGAAACUUGGUAUGGUAUCAUAAUUUCACCCACAUAGCAUAUGCUAAAAAGUUGGGAGGGUUAUGACAAAAUGGACAAUCUUUUUCGAAAUAUCACAGUUUCGGACGAAUACUCAUCUCAUACAAAGGCAUUUUAUUUUAUUUAGUUAUUUCAACUCCGAACUUUUUGUGCGCUCAAUAUGCAUCAUUCAAAGCCACAUCAUCAAUUUUCAACCCUUUCUCACCUCAUUUUCUAUUUUUCAUGGAUUUAAUGUUUCUUUGAGCUAAAUGACCCUGAAAUAGAAAAGCGCUACAAAUGAACUCUGAAAAGGCUGAAACUUGGCAUGGUAUCAUCAUUUCACCCACAUAGCAAGUUUUAAAAGGUUGGUAGUGUUGCGGCAAAAACUGAAUGCACUUCGUGUACAAAAUGGACAAUCUCUUUCGAAGUAUCACUGUUUCGGAUGAAUACUCAUCUCUUACAAAGGCAUUUCAUUUUUUAAACUUAUUUCAACUCCAGACUUUUUGUGCGCUCAAUAUGCAUCAUUCAAAGACAUGUCAUCAAUUUUCAACCAUUUCUCACCUCAUUUGCUAUUUUUCAUGGAUUUAAUGUUUUUUAGCUAAAUGACCCUGAAAUUAAAAAACGCUACAAAUGAACUCUGAAAAGGCUGAAACUUGGCAUGGUAUCAUCAUUUCACCCACAUAGCAUGUGCUAAAAAGUUGGGAGUGUUACGGCAAAAAUUGUAUGCACUUCGUGUACAAAAUGGACAGUCUCUUUCGAAGUAUUACAGUUUCGAACGAACACCCAUCUCUUACAAAGGUAUUUCAUUUUUUUAAUAACCUAAAAAUUACCAAAUUUAAUAUAAUGAUAAAACACACUAAUAUUAAACAUCAGAAAAAAGAAUGACUAAAAAUAUAUAUUUUUAAUGCAAAGUUAUUCACAAACUAGUGAUUCACACAAAUUUCAAAAUAAAUAAAUUUAAACUAUGUAAAUUUUAAAACUACUAGCACUAACAGAAAUUUUGUCGUUUUUUGACCUAAACCAAAAAGAUUCAUCCAAAAACUAUAAAUAGUCUAACAGUUAUUCCAAAUUUAAAAACAAUAACUCUCAUGUUUAGAAAAACCAAAACAAUAAAAAAGAAAAAACAGACCUUUAGUCCCGGCUGGAGCCACCCACCGGGACUAAAGCUCCCUUCCGUGCGGAAUUUUGGGCAGCCAAAAAUAGACCUUUAGUCCCGGUUGGUGGCUACAACCGGGACUAAAGGUGCCUGUCAGUCGGCCAAGUGCCCUACCUUUAGUCUCGGUUGGAGCCACCAACCGGRACUAAAGACCCUUUAGUCCAGGUUCCUGGUUUGAACCGGGACUAAAGACCCUUUAGUCCAGGUUCGUGGUUUGAACCGGGACAAAAGGGAUCUACAUAUAACUCCGCGCUCGUUUUUCGGCACCAAUCUCUCCCAUUCGAUUCGCCGACACCGAUCGUGCCUUGUCCCGACGCCGCCAGGCUGUCGGAGCUCACCGUCGCCCCUGAAGCCAUCCUCGUCGUCGCCGCCCCGGACAUCGGUCGCCUGCGCCUCCUCCACGAGCCCCUUCUGCGCCCCAUCCCUCCUCGAUCCCACGGUGAGCUCCGCUGGCCUCUCCUUCCCUCCUCAAUCUAAAUGACCCGGCCCCUCGCCGUGCGCGAGUGUGGCGGCGCCAUGGCCACCAGCGUGCCCGAGCGCGGUGGCGCGAUGGCCGCCAGCCUACCCGAGCUCCAUGGCCGCCGGCCUGCCCAAUUUCAUGGUUUCGUGAAAAAAAAUCAGGAAUUAUAUGGGUGUUCCUUAACAACAAUUGAUGGCAAUGAGUAAGGGAAUGUUGCAUGAACACAAACACAACACUUCUUUGAUCCUUAUGCUUACUUUAGUGAAUUUGAGGAACUUGUUUGAUGUGAUGGCUAGUGAGAUUGAUGAAUUUUAUGAUAUGUUAGCAAGCAGUUUGUCUCAGUUUGGCACUUUUCUACUCUGAUAUGAACCUUGCUUCUUAACUAAAUCGGGAAUAGAAGAAACAUAGGACUUUGAGUUUGUUUGAUUACAUGGCAUGAAAAACAAAGGAUUUUUUCCAAGAGGUUAGAGUGGAUGCUAGAUUCUAUAUGGAAUAUAGUACACAUGGUUAUAUGUUUUCUAUGGAAUGAGAAUAUAUAUAUAUAUAUAUAUAUAUAUAUAUAGUAGGAAAAAUACAUCCUACCACCCACGGGUAGUUACCCCACAUGUUCAAUAUACUACCAUGCGGGAGUAUAUAUACUAAUUUAUCAUUUUAAUUAUGUUUAUAUACUGUAUACAAGAUUUUUCAAAGUGAGUUACAUGAAAAAAUUACAAGUUGACCCAUAGUGUUUAUUAUAUUUGUGAAAUACAUAUAUAUUUGUAUGUAAAAAAGAGCAUACACAAAAUAUGAUACAUAGUACCAAAAAAACAGUAUAUAUACUACCUAAACAUGAUUAUAUACUACAUACUACGCAUACAUACUCUCCAAUUUAAUACAUACUCCAUACAACAUACAAAACGCAAGUGGUGGUAACUACCACCGGUGGUAGAUAAAAUUUGUCAUAAGGAAGCCAUGCAAUGUACUUGGUUGUAUAUUUUCUAUGGAAUGCGAAUAUCAAAGAUGUUCAAUUCUGUUUAUAGAUGUUUUGAAAUUCUGUUUAUAGAUGUACAAUUCUUUAGAUAUAAUGUCACGGUUGUUGUUGACGCAUUUACAAACAUGUUCCAUGGAUUAUAAGUUAAAUUACCACAUAAAAACAGGAAAUGUCUGACGAUGAUUAUUGGGAGUGUGAAUAUUGCGACGAGUAUCGGGGUGUGUGCGAGAGGCCUCACGUGCGAGACCACGGGUUCUUCAGCAUCAAGCUUGACGAGACCUUUGAAGUUUCUGUGAUACGCAACGAUGACAAGUGUUUUUCGUAAUUAAGCAUGACUUAUGUUUCUUUGCUUCAACAUGUAAUUUUUGUUUUAUACAAUUCGACUAGUUCCUCUCUUGUCAUGCAAGAAGGUAUGUGUUGGAGAGGCUCGGUUUCGAAGACCAUGAGAGUAUGGAGAUGAGGAGAGCUAACAUGAUGGCUAUACAUGGUCACACAUUUCUGAUCAAAGUAAUGAAUGCCGUUUAUAACACCGAAAUAGGGUGCUCAAAUUGGGAAGAUCUUUGCAAGGCAUAUGGAUUUCAGGAGGGUAUGGAAAUGACCUUCGAUCUUUGUCUUGAAGAUAAUAUGCGAGGUAACAUCGACAUUUGGGUGGAUGUUGAUAUGCUUCAUGUUUUACCUCCAUGUGAGUUUGUCAACCAUAUUUGUCAAGUAAUAUCCAUUCUAUAUUUAGAAAUAGUUGGUGUUCAUCCAUAUACUAAAUUUGAUAAAUUAUAAUUUACAACUUAUUUCGGUGAUUCGAGUGAAUUACGGAAAUUAGUUGACACGACACACUACACUUAUGGAUCACAUCUAACUUGGGAGGAGAUGGAUGUUCUUAUCCACUUUCUUGUUGGUGUCCUGGUUGGUAGGGAGAACUUCCCGUAUAAUUUGGUAACUGGCCUAAAUUAUACAUUUUACAUGCCACUAGUUCAUAGGUUGAGGGCGGAUGACAUUCGCCGAAAUAUCUUGGUAAGAGUUUGCUAAUUAAGUACACUCUACGUACUAUUGCAUAAAUGGUGUUAAUUACAUUGCUAACUAGGCUAUUAUUAUGUUUUUUAACAGCAACUGCCAAAUGAUGUAGUGCAUAUGUUGACGCACAACAAAGGUCAUAUGACAAUUAAAAGCCCGCUGAGUGCUGAGUUCGAUGCUCCAUACUCGACUGCCCGCAAACCAAAAAGGCUCCAAACUGAAGCUUGGAGAGAAAUAAAGAAGGAUCGCAAGCUACAAGUUGAAGACCGGUGGAUCUCUAUGCUUCAUCACGGAGACAUAGGUGUUAUUCUGUUUUAUGACAUUAUACCGAGGAGCGAGGACUAGGUCUUAUGAGAGACAUAGACUGGUUUAUAUUAACUCGACAUGAUCAAUUAGAAUGAUGAUUAUUAUCAUGUUUUCUGCUUUAUGAGAUUUUAACUUGGUAUAUGAUUAAGAUGAUGAUGAGUUGUUAGAUGAGUAUGUAAGAUGAUGAUGAGUUAUAUGACAUAAUAUUUGAUUAAAGUGGAUGGAUGCCCGUGAUCGAUAUAUGAAACCCCUUAACCCCUCCUUUCAGAAGAAAAAAAACACAGCGUAAGGCUGCCUUUUAGUCCCGGUUGGUGUCACCAACCGGGACUAAAGGUCCCCACCCCUGGCGCGCCCUGCCAGCCACAUGGAGGGGCAUUAGUCCUGGGUCGUGGCCAACCAGGACUAAAGGGGGUGGGCCUUUAGUCCCAAGUUAUUAGUCCCGGUUGGCGACCUGGGACUAAAGGCCCUUACCAACCGUGACUAAUGUCCGUUUCUGCACUAGUGCACCUCGAAGUUAUUCUUUUGAUCAAUCUUUUGAGCUAUUCCUAUAAGUGUCACAAACAGCCCUAGAGUUCGUACUAGAAUAACAUCCAUGAUACAUAUCAACCAACCCUAGUGUCACCAAGAUACUCCAAUGUCACCUCAAGUAUCUGUGCGUAAAUUAUGCAACAUGCAUCAAACAAGUUUAGAUCUAUCAUAUUCAAUCCAACACAAAGAAGUUCAAGGAGCACGCCAAGAUUUCUAUCGAAGAACGUAGUAUGAAAACGUGCAAUCAACUCAUAUGCAUAGAUCCCCAAGUUCACUGAAAUCCACAAGUUGAUGCCAUAACAUAUAUCAAGUAAAUCACUUGAAUACUCGAAUGUCACUACGGGUAUCCGCAUGCAAGACAUACAUCAAAUGUUCUCAAACCAAAAUAUUCAAUCCAACAUAACGAGAUCUUAAAGUGAAAGAUACAAUUCAUCACAAGGUAGCAAAGAAAUAACAUAAUAUGAUCCAACUAGAUUAACAAGGCUCGUGAUACAUCAAGAUCGUGCCAUCUAAAAAACAUGAGAGAGAGAGAGAGAGAUUCAACACAUAGCUACUGGUACAUACCUCAGCCCCGAGGAUGAACUACUCCCUCCUCGUCAUGGCCUCCGCCGCGAUGAUGAAUAUGGCCACCGGAGAUUAUUUCCCCUCUCCGACAGGGUACUAGAAACGCUCCAGAAAGGGUAUUUGUCGAUACAAAAAGUUGCAGCAGCAGAGCAGAAGUUCUCUCUUUAUUUCUCGGGUUUCUAGUAUAUAUAGGAUUUUUCAGCGUUGGAAUCACGCCAAACGGAGCCACAUGGGUCCCACAAGCCAUCAGGGCGUGGCCUAGGGGGCGCCCUGUUGGCUUGUGGCCAUAGGUGGCUCCCCUCUGGUGGUUCUUCGCUCCAAUAUUGCUUAUUUCCUCCAAAAGAAUAUAAAAAAGUUUCGUUCGAUUCCGAGAACUUUCAUUUUCUGCACAAAAACAACACCAUGGUAAUUGUGCUGAAAAUAGCGUCAGUCCGGGUUAAUUCUAAAUAAGUCAUAUAAAGUGCGUUAAAACCAUAUAAAAGUAUUAUAAACAUAGGCAAACAUGACAUGAAUACUUCAUAAAUUAUCGAUACGUUAGAGACGUAUCAGCAUCCCCAGUCUUAAUUCCUACUCGUCCUCGAGUGGGUAAAUGAUAAAAGAAAUAAUUUAUGAAGUGGGAAUGCUUGCAUGGUAUAUAAGUUUGAUCAAUGAUAAUUCAAAUCACUUUUUCUAGCAUCAUAACCAACAACCUUUCCAUAAAAAUCAUCAUGGUUAAGUAGCAUCAAUUCACAUGUCAUGGUUCAAACAAUGCAUUCUCUUAAAACUUAACAUUAUAUGUUCUUAGUGAUCAAACAAUUUCAAUGCAUCAUCAAGUCUAAGUGAGAGCUCCACAUACUCAAUUAUCAUAAAGUCUUUUAUGAUUGCUAAUACUCAAAGCAUAUUUUUAGAACAAAUAACAUACAUAGAAAGAUAAGGGUUUAAUGUUUCGCCUCCCAACAUAUUUAUCAUAAAGAUAAUUGUCAACAAUAAUGAAUCAUGAUCAAAUAUAUUUGAGUGAAUAUAUAUGUUUGGAUCUUUCCCACCUCAUGGUGCUUACCAACUAAUAGAACGAGGUUGGAACAAUAAGUUGACUCAACAUGAAAAGUAAGUAACAUGAACGCAAAUAGAUUAUCCCUUCACAAAGGGAACCAGGGAUUUGCAGAGAUGCGAGAGAUCAUUGUUUUAAAACAAAGAUGAAUAUGUAAUUUUGGGUGGUGUGCCUUUCAUGUCAAUGUCACAGCAGAGUUUUCAAUAUCUUCCAUGCUAAUCACAUUACUCGCGGUUCCCAAACAGAAUUGAACUUUUACUCCCCCUCCACCAUUCAAUCACAUUCCAUGGCUAGCCGUAUCCACGGGUGCCAUCUAAACAAUCAACUUUCUAAUGAGAGUUCUUGAUUACUUAUUUUGGGCCGUUUGUAUUUCUGUCCCCUAACUCAGACCACCUACUCAGAUUUGCCCCUAUUUUUUAGCUAUGCUCAAAUUUGCCCCUCUCCGUCAAGUCCCCUAAUAGAAAUGCCCAUAUGUGUCGUUACCGUCCAGUCAACACGCUUUGACCAUCCCGGUGAACAGUGACUCGAUGAACAGUAAUUUCGAAAAAAAAAAUAGCAACAAAGAACUGACAUUUUUAGCUAAUUUUUUUAAUAUUGCAUUUUAUUUAUGCUUUUUGAAAAAUAUUGCACAAAAUUCAGAAUUUUCAAAAAAUAAUACGGCCUCGGCUUAGGCGUGGCCGAUUGGAACCUAUCGGCCUAGCCAAGACCAAUAAGUCCUAAUCGGCCUUGGUUAGGCCGAUAGGCCUCUCAGCCUGGCUUCCGGGAACUUAUCGGCCUUGGCGAAGCCAAUAAGCUCCUGUCGGACUUGGCUAGGCCAGUAAGUCCCUAUCAGCCUUGGCUUAGGCCAAUAAGGACUAAUUGGUGUUGGCUAGGCCAAUAGGUGCAUGGGAUUUAUUUAUUUUUGCAUGCUAGCUAUUUUUCAGGCUUCAUUUCUCGCCCCAUUUCCCGUCAAUUUUUAGUAAGAACUUUUAAAAGACUUAUACUUAGCAACAAAGAGAAUAGUACACAGUACAGGUUAGGACACGAAAUUUCCAGCAACUUUUACUUUUAUGCUUACGUUUGUACAACCGUCUUAGCACCAACACUAGUUUUUUUUUACUUUGUAACCCUGAGCUAGACCAUUAUAAAUUGGGUUAGAAAUUGAUAGGCUCCAGCCCCAGUGCGCCUUGCAUGCUCUUACAAGAACGGCCGUCGUGGAAACUGCAAGAGAAAGACAAAUAUGCGGCGCUGGCCUCUCGAGAUGUUGCAACAAGGCUGCAUGGACAGCUGCUGCAGACUACAGGCCAGUUGCAUGUCAACUUUUUAAAGGUCUUUUUUAUUUUCAUAUAGUAUAUAGUAAAAGCGAACCGUUUGACCAAAGAUCUUGCUUGCCUCUCCCUUGAUGCAUGGCUAGGCCAUAGACGUGAAACAAAUCAAACGCUAGAAACACGAGAGACAAACGACAAGAUGCAGCAGCCUGCAGGCAUGCGCGUCAACCUCCUUUGAUGGCUACCACAAACAUGGAGCUCGGGCUAGUUGUUGCUUGGUGAUACAUACUCGUGGGUUGGUGGCACCUGACCCGAGUCUUUUCUCUACUUCCGAUCCACGGACCUGCCUAGGGGGCUAGAGCUCAGCAAGACGACAUCGUCUUCUUUAACGAAAACCACAAACACAACAAGACACGUUAUAUUGUACGAAUACAUCACUGAUUUUGUAAGGUAGCUGGAGAGCUAGAGUAGAUAAAGCAUGGAAAUUGCAAGAAGAGAGAGAGGGAGAGAGAGAAGAGAGAAGAUAGAGAGAGAGAGAGAGAGGACUAGAAGUAAGUUGUGNNNNNNNNNNNNNNNNNNNNNNNNNNNNNNNNNNNNNNNNNNNNNNNNNNNNNNNNNNNNNNNNNNNNNNNNNNNNNNNNNNNNNNNNNNNNNNNNNNNNUAUCUAUAAUUUUUGAUGGUUUCACGCUGUUAUCUUGUCUUCUUUGGUUGUUUUAUGUACCUUUUAUAUCUUUUUUGGGACUAACUUAUUGAUUCAGUGCCAAGAGCCAAUUCCUGUUUUUUCCGUGUUUUUGACUCUUUUUAGAUCUGAUUUUGAAGGGAGUUCAAACGGAAUAAAAACCCCGAAAUGAUUUUUUCCCAAACGGAAGAAGAUCAGGGGGCCUCUGGGCCAAGCCAGGUGGGCUCCAGGGAGCCCACAAGCUCCCACCACGCCACCAGGGGGGAGGCGGCGGUGGGCAGGCUUGUGGCCUCCCUGGCCGCCCCCUGACCUAGGUCUUUGGCCUAUAAAUUCCCAAAUAUUCCACAAAAAAUCAGGGGAGCCUCGAAAAUACUUUUCCGCCGCCGCAAGCUUCCGUUUCCGCGAGAUCUCAUCUGGAGACCCUUCCCGGCGCCCUGCCGGAGGGGACUUUGGAGUUGGAGGGUUUCUUCAUCAUCAUCAUCGCCCCUCCAAUGACUCGUGAGUAGUUCACUUCAGACCUACGGGUCCGUAGUUAGUAGCUAGAUGGCUUCUUCUCUCUCUUGGAUCUUCAAUACAAAGUUCUCCAUGAUCUUCAUGGAGAUCUAUCCGAUGUAAUCUUCUUUGGCGGUGUGUUUCUCGAGAUCCGAUGAAUUGUGGAUUUGUGAUCAGAUUAUCUGUGAUAUAUAUUUGAGUAUUUGCUGAUUUCUUAUAUGCAUGAUUUGAUAUCCUUGUAAGUCUCUCCGAGUCUUGGGUUUUGUUUGGCCAACUAGAUCUAUGAUUCUUGCAAUGGGAGAAGUGCUUAGUUUUGGGUUCUGCCAUGUGGUGACCUUUCCCAGUGACAGUAUGGGCAGCAAUGCACACAUCAAGUAGUUGCCAUCAAGGGUAAAAAGAUGGGGUUUUUAUCAUUGGUUUGAGAUUAUCCCUCUACAUCAUGUCAUCUUGCUUAAGGCGUUACUCUGUUCUUAUGGACUUAAUACACUAGAUGCAUGCUGGAUAGCGGUCGACAUGUGGAGUAAUAGUAGUAGAUGCAGACAGUAUCGGUCUACUUGUUUUGGACGUGAUGCCUAUAGAAAUAAUCAUUGCAUAGAUAUUGUCACGACUUUGCGUGGUUCUAUCAAUUGCUCGACAAUAAUUUGUUCACCCACCGUCUACUUGCUUUCAUGAGAGAAGCCACUAGUAAACACUACGGCCCCCGGGUCUAUUCACAUCCAUCGUUUACAUCUCCGCUUUUACUUUGCUUUGUUACUUUUUUGCUUUCAGUUCUCACUUGGCAAACAAUCUAUAAGGGAUUGACAACCCCUUCAUAGCGUUGGGAGCAAGCUUUUGUGUUUGUGCAGGAUCUUGAGAUACUCCUCCACUGUAUUGAUACCUCGGUUCUCAAACUGAGGGAAAUACUUACCACCGCUACGCUACAUCACCCUUUCCGCUUCGAGGGAACACCAACGCAAGGCUCCAAGACCACGGGGGAAAUCCUUUGCAUACUUGCCUAGGAAGUCCCUUAAGGCGUAGCCACAGCAGAAAGAUCAAGCCAAGUAUUCUCCCGUCGACGUGCCUAUUUCUGGCGUCGUUGGAAGGUCUUUUGUUGCAGUAGCAGAAGAAUUUCUGGCGUCGUUUCCGGGGAGGAGGAUCGCUUGCCGAGGAUAACAAGACAAGAGUAAUCUCCCGACAACACGCCUAUUUCUGGCGUCGUUGCCGGGGAGGAGAAAUCAAGAUCUAUCCAAGUAGGUCUCACAAACUCUUCUCUUGCAUUUACUUUUGUUGCCAGUUGCCUCUCGUUUUCCUCUCCCCCACUUCACAUUGUCCGUUUUCUUUUGCCUUUCUCCUUUGCCUUUUCCCGUUCGCCCUUCUUCCGCUUGCUUUCUGUUUGCUUGUGUUACCAUGUGCCUUCUUUUAGCUUGCAUCUUUGCUUGCUGAAAAUCCAUUGAUAUGGAUCCUCAUCCACUAGCUAGUCUCUUUAAGAGACCCACUAUUGUUGAACGAAUUGCUUGUGAGUUGAGGACAAUUGAAUAUUUCUAUGGAGUUUUGCUUAAGAUGCAUGAAUCUGAAAAUUGUGAGGAAGAAAUUCAUGAAGUGAUUCACGAGGGCUCCUUGGAUGAAAAGCAUGAUUGCAAUGGUUUCACUAUAAAUCCUAUUAGUGAAAAUCAUGCUAAAAAUAUGCAAAACCCUAAGCUUGGGGAUGCUAGUUUUGCUUUGACCACUACUUGUUGCAAUAAUCAUGAUUGGGGUGAUGAUCUUUCUUAUGAUCUUGAAAAUUUGUUCAAACCUGAUGAUGAAUAUGUUAUUUGUAACAAUACUGAAAGUGGGAUUGGAGAAGUCAUGACUUUAGUUGAUGACAAUCCCACUAUUUUUGAAGAGCGUCAACUUUGCACGCAUGUGGAUCAUGAAAAUAAUAUCCUAUGGUAUAGCUAUAUUGUUGAAUUUGAAUAUGAUCCCACAUGUAAUUGCUAUGAGAGAGGAAAAUAUUGUGGUAGAAACCUUCAUGUUACCAAAUCACCUCUCGUGAUGUUGAGAUUGCUCUUGUCUUUUUCUUCUUCCUUGCAUAUGGCAGCUAUUGGUUGUCUUGACAAUUAAUUUUCCUAUAAAAUGCCUAUGCAUAGGAAGUAUGUUAGACUUAGAUGUGAUUUUCACAUGCUUUAGGAUGCUCUCGUUAUGCUAUAAUUCUUGUCUUUUGUGAGAGCAUCAUCGAAUGCCUAGCUAAGGGCGUUAAACGAAAGCGCUUGUUGGGAGGCAACCCAACGAAUUUAUCCUUUUUCUUUCUGUUUUGUGUUUUCCCACACUUUCAUAAUUCUGUUAUGAUUGUGUUUUUGUGUUUCUUUUUGCGUUUGUGCCAAGCAAAACCGUUAUGAUUAGUCUUGGGGAUGAUCGUUUGGUCAUGCUGGAAAAGACAGAAACUUUCUGCUCAGGAAAAGAAUUUUCAUUUUCUUUUCUGUAAUAGCUUUUGAGUUGAUUCUUUUUUCUGCGUAUUGCUAUGCUAAUUCUUCAGACUGUCGUAAUUUUUCAGAAUUUUUGAAGUACCAGAGGUAUACGAAAUAUACAGAUUGCUACAGACUGGUCUGCUGUUAAUAGAUUCUGUUUUUGUUGUGUUGGUUGCUUAUUUUGAUGAAACUAUGGAUAGUAUCAGGGGGUAUUAGCCAUGGAAGAUUGAAAGUAUAGUAACCCAACAUCAGGACAAGUAGAAUUUAAGUUUGCUACAGUACCUAAGGAAGUGGUGGUUUGCUUUCUUGUACUAAUGUUAUCACGAGUUUCUGUUUAAGUUUCGUGUUGUGAAGUUUUCAAGUUUUGGGUGAAGUUCUUAUGGACAAAAGGAUAAAGAGUGGCAAGAUAUCAAGCUUGGGGAUGCCCAAGGCACCCCAAGAGAUUCAAGGAUGCCGUAAAAGCCUAAGCUUGGGGAUGCCCCGGGAAGGCAUCCCCUCUCUCGUCUUCAAUCCAUCGGUAACGUUACUUGGGGCUAUAUUUUUAUUCACCACAUGUUAUGUGUUUUUGCUUGGAGCGUCUUGUAUCGUAGGAGUCUUUUAUUUUUGUUGUGUGACAAUCAUGCUUGCUGCACACCUAGAGAGAGAGACAUACACACACCGUGAUUUUGUCGAGCUUCACUUAUAUCUUUUGGUAGACAAUUCAGCUCACAUGUGCUUCACUUAUAUCUUUUGAGCUAGAUACUUUUGCUCUAUUUGCUUCACUUAUAUCUUUUAGAGCACAUCGGUGCGUGGCUUGGUAGUUGAUAUAUGCUUUGAAAGUAGUCUCAAAAGGGGUAGAUAUCCAACGGGAUACGAAAACUUCCACCUUCAUGUGCAUUGAAUAGUUAGAGAAGUUUGAUUCAUCCCAAUUAGUUUUGAGUUGUGGUUAUGGUAAUAUUAAAGUCAUGCUAGUAAGGUGUUGUGGAUCUAGAAAUACUUGUGUUGAAGUUAGUGAUUCCCGUAGCAUGCACGUAUGGUGAACCGCUAUGUGAUGAAACCUGAGCAUGAUUAGUCUAUUCAUUGUCAUCCUUUGCGGGGCAGUCGGGAUCGCGCGAUGGUUCAUACCUACCAACCCUUCCCCUAGGAGUAUGCGUUGAAUGCUUUGUUUCGAUUACUAAUAAAACUUUUGCAACAAGUAUAUGAGUUCUUCAUGACUAAUGUUGAGUCCAUGGUUUAGAUGCACUUUCACCUUCCAUCAUCACUAUCUUCUUAGUGUCUAGCAACUUUCGCCGGUGCACAAAACCCACCAUUAGCCUCCCUCAAAACAACCACCAUACCUACCUACUAUGGCUUUUUAAAAGUCAUUCCGAGAUAUAUUGCCAUGCAACUACCACCAUGACAUGUGCCACCACGUCUACAUUGUCAUUGCAUGAUCGUAAGAUAGCUAGCAUGAUGUUUCCAUUAAUGUCUAUGCCAUGCUAGAUCAUUGCCACGGUACACUACCGAAGGCAUUCCAUAUAAAGUCAUUGUUACUCUAAGUUUUAAGUUGAAAGUGUGAUGAUCAUCAUUAAUGGAGCAUUGUCCCAUGUGAGGAAAUAAAAGAGGCCAAAGAAGCCCACCAAAAAAAGAGGCCAAAGAGCCCACCAAAAUGAAAAAAAUGAGAGAAAAAGAGAGAAGGGACAAUGCGACCACUUUUUCCACACUUGUGCAUAUUAAGCACCAGGAUCUUCAUGAUUGAGAGUCUCUCGUUUUGUCACCACCAUAUAGCUAGUGGGAAAUUUUCAUUAUAUAACUUGGCUUGUAUAUUCCUAUGAUAGGCUUCCUCAAAAUUGCCUUAGGUCUUCGUGAGCAAGCAAGUUGGAUGCACACCCACUAGUUUUCUUUAAGAGCUUUCACAUACUCGUAGCUCUAGUGCAUCAAUUGUAUGACAAUCCCUACUCAUUCACAUUAAUAUCUAUUGAUGAGCAUCUCCAGAGCUCAUUGAUAUGCCUAGUUAAUGUGACUAUCUUCUCCUUUUUGUCUUGCAACCUCCACUACAUUCCACACCAUCUAUAGUGCUAUAACCAUGGCUCACGCUCAUGUAUUGCGUGAGAGUUGAAAAGGUUUGAGAAAGUAAAGGUGUGAAAUAAUUACUUGGCCAAUACCGGGGUUGUGCAUGAUUUAAAUUUAUUGUGCAAUGAUGAUAGAGCAUAGCCAGACUACAUGCUUUUGUAGGGAUAACUUUCUUUUGGCCUUGUCAUUUUGAAAGUUCAUGAUUACUUUGCUAGUUUGCUUGAAUUAUUAUUGUUUCCACGUCAAUAGCAAACUAUUGUUUUGAAUCUAAUGUAUAUGAACAUUCACGUCACAUAAGAGGAAUUACAAAGGACACCUAUGCUAGGUAGCAUGAAAGCAUCAAAAAUUCAUUCUUAUCACUUCCCUACUCGAGGACGAGCAGGAGUUAAGCUUGGGGAUGCCUGAUACGUCUCAAACGUAUCUAUAAUUUUUGAUGGUUUCACGCUGUUAUCUUGUCUUCUUUGGUUGUUUUAUGUACCUUUUAUAUCUUUUUUGGGACUAAUUUAUUGAUUCAAUGCCAAGAGCCAAUUCCUGUUUUUUUCGUGUUUUUGACUCUUUUCAGAUCUGAUUUUGGAACGGAGUCCAAACAGAAUAAAAACCCCGAAAUGAUUUUUUCCCGAACGGAAGAAGAUCAGGGGGCCUCUGGGCCAAGCCAGGUGGGCUCCAGGGAGGCCACAAGCUCCCACCACGCCACCAGCGGGGAGGCGGCGGUGGGCAGGCUUGUGGCCUCCCUGGCCGCCCCAUGACCUAGGUCUUUCGCCUAUAAAUUCCCAAAUAUUCCGCAAAAAAUCAGGGGAGCCUCGAAAAUACUUUUCCACCUCCGCAAGCAUCCAUUUCCGCGAGAUCUCAUAUGGAGACCCUUCCCGGCGCCCUGCCGGAGGGGACUUUGGAGUUGGAGGGCUUCUUCAUCAUCAUCAUCGCCCCUCCAAUGACCCGUGAGUAGUUCACUUCAGACCUACGGGUCCGUAGUUAGUAGCUAGAUGGCUUCUUCUCUCUCUUGGAUCUUCAAUUCAAAGUUCUCCAUGAUCUUCAUGGAGAUCUAUUCGAUGUAAUCUUCUUUGGCAGUGUGUUUGUCGAGAUUCGAUGAAUUGUGGAUUUGUGAUCAGAUUAUCUAUGAUAUAUAUUUGAGUCUUUGCUGAUUUAUUAUAUGCAUGAUUUGAUAUCCUUGUAAGUCACUCUGAGUCUUGGGUUUUGUUUGGCCAACAAGAUCUAUGAUUCUUGUAAUGGGAGAAGUGCUUGGUUUUGGGUUCUGCCAUGUGGUGACCUUUCCCAGUGAUAGUAUGGGCAGCAAGGCACACAUCAAGUAGUUGCCAUCAAGGGUAAAAAGAUGGGGUUUUUAUCAUUGGUUUGAGAUUAUCCCUCUACAUCAUGUCAUCUUGCUUAAGGUGUUACUUUGUUCUUAUGGACUUAAUACACUAGAUGCAUGCUGGAUAGCGGUCGACGUGUGGAGUAAUAGUAGUAGAUGCAGACAGUCAGUCUACUUGUUUUGGACGUGAUGCCUAUAGAAAUAAUCAUUGCAUAGAUAUCGUCACGACUUUGCGCGGUUCUAUCAAUUGCUCGACAUUAAUUUGUUCACCCACCCUCUACUUGCUUUCUUGAGAGAAGCCACUAGUAAACACUACGGCCCCCGGGUCUAUUCACAUCCAUCGUUUACAUCUCCCUUUUACUUUGCUUUGUUACUUUGUUGCUUUCAGUUCUCACUUGGCAAACAAUCUAUAAGGGAUUGUCAACCCCUUCAUAGCGUUGGGAGCAAGCUUUUGUGUGUUGGAAUUAUGCCCUAGAGGCAAUAAUAAAUAUGGUUAUUAUUAUAAUUCCUGUAUCAAGAUAAUAGUUUAUUAUCCAUGCUAUAAUUGUAUUGAAUGAAGACUCAUUUACAUGUGUGGAUACAUAGACAAAACACCGUCUCUAGCAUGCCUCUAGUUGGCUAGCCAGUUGAUCAAUGAUAGUCAGUGUCUUCUAAUUAUGAACAAGGUGUUGUUGCUUGAUAACUGGAUCACGUCAUUGGGAGAAUCACGUGAUGGACUAGACCCAAACUAAUAUACGUAGCAUGUUGAUCGUGUCAUUUUGUUGCUACUGUUUUCUGCGUGUCAAGUAUUUAUUCCUAUGACCAUGAGAUCAUAUAACUCACUGACACCGGAGUAAUGCUUUGUGUGUAUCAAACGUCGCAACGUAACUGGGUGACUAUAAAGAUGCUCUACAGGUAUCUCCGAAGGUGUUAGUUGAGUUAGUAUGGAUCAAGACUGGGAUUUGUCACUCCGUGUGACGGAGAGGUAUCUCGGGGCCCACUCGGUAAUACAACAUCACACACAAGCCUUGCAAGCAAUGUAACUUAGUGUAAGUUGCGGGAUCUUGUAUUACGGAACGAGUAAAGAGACUUGCCGGUAAACGAGAUUGAAAUAGGUAUGCGGAUACUGACGAUCGAAUCUCGGGCAAGUAACAUACCGAAGGACAAAGGGAAUGACAUACGGGAUUAUACGAAUCCUUGGCACUGAGGUUCAAACGAUAAGAUCUUCGUAGAACAUGUAGGAUCCAAUAUGGGCAUCCAGGUCCCGCUAUUGGAUAUUGACCGAGGAGUCUCUCGGGUCAUGUCUACAUAGUUCUCGAACCCGCAGGGUCUGCACACUUAAGGUUCGANNNNNNNNNNNNNNNNNNNNNNNNNNNNNNNNNNNNNNNNNNNNNNNNNNNNNNNNNNNNNNNNNNNNNNNNNNNNNNNNNNNNNNNNNNNNNNNNNNNNCGGGGGCGCGCAAGCGCACCCGCUGGGUGUAGCCUCCGGGCGACUCGAAGAGUAAGACGGAGGGUCUUUGUUGUUGCUGGAGUAGACGGUAGCGUCGGGGAUGUCGGGCGCGGACGCAAUGUCCGCCGAAUGGUGCGCGCGAGGCGCUGCCGGGUGCGGACGCGGGGUCCGCCGGCUGGUGCGUGCGAGGCGAUGCCGGGCACGGACGCAGAGUCCGUCGGCUGACUGUUUCCAUCGGGGGCGCGCAAGCGCACCCGCUGGGUGUAGCCUCCGGGCGACUUGCAGAGUCGUGCGGAGGCUUCUUGCUGUUGUUGUAGCAGAUGUUGAUGAUGUUGGCCGGCUACGGGCCACAGCCGUCAAUGCCCUAGCCGGACAGGAGUAGCCAGCGGCCGGAAGCCGUCCGGGCUCCAGCCAUCCGGGUGAUGGGAGGUUCUCGCCAAGAUGAUCAUGCAAAAGACAAGGUUAGUAGAUGCAGACAUGUCUAAUAUUUGGUUUUGGGAGUGCAAGUUUAUGCAAAGGGCGUCGGCUCGGUUUNNNNNNNNNNNNNNNNNNNNNNNNNNNNNNNNNNNNNNNNNNNNNNNNNNNNNNNNNNNNNNNNNNNNNNNNNNNNNNNNNNNNNNNNNNNNNNNNNNNNAGCAUGUAGCACCAGGCCACACAAACAGCGUAGCUCGCCAGGGCAUGUAGCCGGCCAUGCAUGUACGCCGUAGUGCAGCCGAGUCAGGCCACGCACGCACCAUAUGCAUGCAUGCAUACAAAUGCUUGUGGCCAAGCAGCCAAGUAGCCUAGUAAGUUAGUAACCCGACGUGCGUGCAUGCGUGCAGACGGGGAUGGCCAGCACAUGAACUGGUGGGAGCCGUCCAGGUGCGGCGAGGGCGAGCCGGCAGGCGCGCACGAGUUGGCCGGGCGCGCCAUGGUGAGCCGACCGGCGCCACGCACGGAGCCACGCGCAGGGGCACGGGCGAGCGGAGCAACGUGAACACGUCGGAGGGUAUGUGGGGCAGCGGCGAUGCAUGAGCUUCGCAGGUCCGCAGUUUGGACGCGCCGGCGGGGCGCGCUGCAGGAGCGGACGAAGCCAUGGUGCGCAGCGGCGAGGCCACAGGCGGACCUGCACAUAUGGGCGAAGAAGCGGACGACGUGGAGGACGCCAAACGCGGCGUAUGCGGAAGCGGAUCGAAGGCGAACGACACGAGCACGCCGCCACGCACGGUACGUCGGGGGCGUGCUGAUGUCGAGCCCCCGAGCAACGCCGGAGAAACGGCAUCAAAUGUCGCGGUGGUGACGAUGAAGAGGGUCCCGCCCAGACCGCGGUUCCAGCGGCAACUGGCCCCACCGUGGGCGUCAAAUGUCGUUAUUUUGAUAUAGGGGGUAUCCUGACGGCAUAUGUCAUGGGAUGGUUAAUCGAGGUGAGGGCAAGGCUGUCGUGGAUGAUCCGGGACGGGAUAGGGUAAUAGCACGCGGUGGUUUACCCAGGUUCGGGGCUCUCMGGAGAGAUAAUACACCUACUCCUGCAUGUGUGUAUAUGAUGUAUAUUGGCAGUACAAGGUUGCUCCUGGAGCUGUAUUGGAGGAGGAAGAGAGCUGAGCGCCUCCUCCUUGGCCUCAUGUCUGAGUGUGUGUAUGUGGGGGCCGAGAGCCUGAGAGAGUGAGAGGGCAGCCUAAGGCCUUUUGUAUGGAUGUNNNNNNNNNNNNNNNNNNNNNNNNNNNNNNNNNNNNNNNNNNNNNNNNNNNNNNNNNNNNNNNNNNNNNNNNNNNNNNNNNNNNNNNNNNNNNNNNNNNNCUCCUCCUUGGCCUCAUGUCUGAGUGUGUGUAUGUGGGGGCCGAGAGCCUGAGAGAGUGAGAGGGCAGCCUAAGGCCUUUUGUAUGGAUGUGCAGCUUGGUAUGUAAGCUACGGUGGAUAGCUUACAUACCAAGCUGCUUGGUAUGUAAGCUACCCACCGUAGCUUACAUACCAAGCAGCUUGGUAUGUAAGCUACCAUGGGUAACUUACAUGCCAAGCUAUAUGCAGCUUGGGACCUAAGCUAUGCUUGUCCCCUGGGGCACUUUAUAAACCAGCGCCCAGGGGACAAGUUACACUGUAGAUAAAGCAGUACGACGCCUGAGAGGACGUCGUAGUUGACUACGACUAGUCGUCGGGCUGGCGUAGCCGGCUGGACAGCGGAGCCGGCCGGAGUGGGCAGGCACCCCGCUCGACUCUGCGUCUUUGGGGUACCUGGGGAUUAUUCCCCCGACAGUAGCCUCCGAGCCUCCGUGCGACUCAAAGAGCCGGACGGAGGGUUUUCGCAGUCGUUGUUGAUGCAGAAGUUGUCGAUGACGGUCGAUUGCAAGCCGGGGACGGAGUGGCUUGUUUUCAGCCCGAGCCGGCGACCCUUUGUAGCUGAACUUUGCAUGCAUCCGGCCUUACGUGGCGUUACCUCGCCAGCCAGACGACCGGAGCUAGUCCGCAAGCUCGUACGGGGUGACCAGGGAUCAACCGGCUUACACUAUGUGUUCUUUUACAAUAGGGAGGGCGUUCGAGCGGCUAGCGAGCCCCCGAGCUUGUCAAAGCCAGCAAGGGGCGUGCGCUGCGUAGCCUCCGAGCCCGAGUCGGCGACCCUUUGUAGCCGAACUUUGCAUGCAUCCGGCCUUACCUGAUGUCACCUCGCAAGCCAAACGGCCGGAGCCAGUCCGCAAGCUCGUACGGGGUGACGAGGGAUCAGCCGGCUUACACUAUGUGUUCUUUUACAAUAGGGAGGGGGUGGCUUGUUUUCAGCGGGGGCGCGCCAGCGCACCCGCUGGGUGUAGCCUCCGAGCCUCCGGGCGACUCGAAGAGUUAGGCGGAGGGUCUUUGCUGUUGUUGGAGUAGACGGUAGCGUCGGGGAUGUCGGGCGCGGACGCAAUGUCCGCCAACUGGUGCACGCGAGGCGCUGCCGGGCACGGACGCGGGGUCCGCCGGCUGGUGCGCACGAGGCGCUGCCGCGCGCGGACGCGGGGUCUGCCAGCCGGUGCGCGCGAGGCGCCGCCGGGCGCGGACGCGAGGUCCGCUGGCUGGCUGUUUCCAUCGGGGGCGCGCAAGCGCACCCGCUGGGUGUAGCCUCCGGGCGACUCGAAGAGUAAGACGGAGGGUCUUUGUUGUUGCUGGAGUAGACGGUAGCGUCGGGGAUGUCGGGCGCGGACGCAAUGUCCGCCGAAUGGUGCGCGCGAGGCGCUGCCGGGUGCGGACGCGGGGUCCGCCGGCUGGUGCGUGCGAGGCGAUGCCGGGCACGGACGCAGAGUCCGUCGGCUGACUGUUUCCAUCGGGGGCGCGCAAGCGCACCCGCUGGGUGUAGCCUCCGNNNNNNNNNNUGCAGAGUCGUGCGGAGGCUUCUUGCUGUUGUUGUAGCAGAUGUUGAUGAUGUUGGCCGGCUACGGGCCACAGCCGUCAAUGCCCUAGCCGGACAGGAGUAGCCAGCGGCCGGAAGCCGUCCGGGCUCCAGCCAUCCGGGUGAUGGGAGGUUCUCGCCAAGAUGAUCAUGCAAAAGACAAGGUUAGUAGAUGCAGACAUGUCUAAUAUUUGGUUUUGGGAGUGCAAGUUUAUGCAAAGGGCGUCGGCUCGGUUUCGACCGAGCCCCCUUAAGUCUUUUUCAUGUUCUCCCCGCUCUUUGGCUUUUGCUCUUGCUAGCCGGACAGCCGGGAGCCAGUCUGUAGCUGAGGCGAAGAGUGGGCCGCGGAAUGGUCCGUACAGUACUCGGAUUCUGGGAGCAGACUCGACCGAGCAGAUACUCACAAAUAAAACGAUCGAGCCCCCUUAAGUCGUUUUCAUGUUCUCCCCGCUCUUUGGCUUUUGCUCUUGCUAGCCGGACAGCCGGGAGCCGGUCUGUAGCUGAGGCGAAGAGUGGGCCGCGGAAUGGAGCGUACAGUACUCGGACUGUGGGAGCAGACUCGACCGAGCAGAUACUCACAAAUGAAACGACCGUGUCGCCCAAGCCGUUUUCUCCCUGGGCGUUUUUCGCGUGUGGUGACCUCCAGCUUUUGCUCUCGCUAGCCGGACAGCCGGGGUGCGGUCUGUAGCUGAGACAAAGAGCGGGCCUUCGGUACCGUACAGGUUACUAAGCCGUCCAUGAAAACGAACGUAUCAGGCCAAACGGCCGACCCGAGGCCGAGACUAGCUAGCGCCGGGUGAACAGUAAAGCAACUGAAACAGAUGCGGGGAUGGCCUCCGAGGGUCGCUCGGGGUAUCCAUAUUUUGUGCAUGGUGUAAAAACAUGUAGAUGAACAGCUCACAUUGCUUUUUUACAGUCGGCAAGACGGUUGUUGUCGAUGAUGAUCGGUGCGGCUUGCAGUCGUCGUGGCGUUUUGCUAGACGAGAACACCGGGGCACCCGCUGGGUGUAGCCGCCGAGCCUCUGGUGGUCGGCUGGUAUGCCAGUAUGCCGGGAGUCGAAGCAAAUGGGCGACCGGAGUCGGCCAGAUGUCGAAGUAGACGGGCAACCGGAGUCGGCCGAUGUCGAAGUAGACGGGCGACCGGAGUCGGCCGAUGUCGAAGUAGACGGGCCACCGGAGUCGGCCGAUGUCGAAGUAGACACGACCGAGUCGAUCUGGCGCCCACUCCAUUUUUUAUUUUUUUUUGAACCGGCAGCCAGCUAGCUAGCCGGUCGUGGGCGCACACAUGCAUAUGGCCAAGCAGUACACAUGCACGCGGCCAAGCAGUCGGCCAUGCACGUACAUAUGCAUGCGGCCAAGCACCCGGAUGUGCGCGCACAUGCAGGCGGCCAAGCAGACGGGAGCCGGCGGGCGCGCGGGAGACGGCCAGUGCGGGGCGGCGAGCCGGCGGGCGCGGGGCGACGAGCCGGCCAGCGCGCNNNNNNNNNNNNNNNNNNNNNNNNNNNNNNNNNNNNNNNNNNNNNNNNNNNNNNNNNNNNNNNNNNNNNNNNNNNNNNNNNNNNNNNNNNNNNNNNNNNNCUUUUCCCUAAGCACGUAUGACUACAUACGGAAUACAUGCCUACAUUAUACUGAUGAACGGGAGCUAGUCACAUAUCUCUCCGUGUUAUAGUUGUUACAUGAUGAAUCACAUCCCUCACACUCAUCCAUCACCGAUCCACUGCCUACGAGUCUUUUACUACUGGUUCUCGCUACGUUACUUUGCCUAGGCUUGUCCCUUGCUACAAGAGGGAUUGGGCCACUUUGCUGCUGUUGUCACUACUGAUGUUACUUGUUACUUUGUUGUUGCUGUCACUACUGCUGUUACUUGUUACUUUGUUGCUGCUGCUACUACUGUUCCUUGCUACUCCGCUGUUACUUGUUGCAAGACUUUUUUGGCGCUAACAUCCAGUCAACAAGGCUUUUUCUAGCGCCAUUGUCGGGGAUUGUCAAAGCUUUUUCUGGUGUCGUUGCUAUCAUACUACCUUGCUACUGAUACUUUGCUUGCAGACACUAAUCUUUCAGGUGUGGUUGAAUUGACAACUUAGCUACUAAUACUUGAGAAUAUUCUUUAGCUUCCCCUAGUGAGCGAAUCAAUAAAUUUUGGUUGAAUACUCUACCCUCGAAAACUGAUGUGAUCCCAUACGCUUGUGGGACAUCAAGGCUUUUUCUAGCGUCGUUGUCGGGGAGGCACAUCUAUAUUCUCUGAGUCACCUGGGAUGGACGUCUGCUAAUCACUAUGAGGAAUCCGAAAGAUCCAAGAACUAAAAUCGUGCCUUCCACUACGAGGAGAGGUAAGGAACUGCCAUCUAGCUCUGCACUUGAUUCACCUUCAGUUUUGAGUAAGUUUGCGACAUCCCCUCCUGCUAGAAAUCUUGAUACGUCGCCGGUGCUUGAUGAUGCUACUUCUGCUGCCCAUGAUGCUUAUGAUGCUAUGCUUGAUACUAUGCCUGAUGAUGCUAUGCUUGAUGCUAUGCCUGAUGAUGCUAUGCUUGAUACUAUGCCUGAUGAUGCUAUGCUAGAUACUAUGCCUGAUGAUGCUAUGCCUGAUACUGGUUUGCCACUUGGUGCAUUCCUUGAUGCACAUAUUGCUAGAGUUGCUGCUAGAUGUGAUGAUACUUCUGAGACUGCUGAUACUAUUGAAGUAGAACCUGCUACUAUGCAUGAAUUGCCUACUAUGCCUGAUACGCGCUAUGUUAUGGAGGGAGAGAUAGCUGAGGACUUUCUUGCGUGUAAGGAUAGCUAUGAUGUUGAGAAACUUCUGCGCAAGUGGAAAGAAAAAUCUCUGAACGCUAGGUUGAAAUAUGACCCGAAGUUUGCCACUUCACCUAUCUUUGUGACCGACAAGGAUUAUGAAUUCUUUGUCGACCUUGAGUUAAUCACUCUAGUCGAAUCUGAUCCUUUUCACGGUUAUGAGUGUGAAACGGUUGUAGCCCAUCUUACCAAACUGCACGAUACAGCCACCCUAUUCACUAGUGAGGAAACGAUCUGCCACUAAUACAUGCUCAAGUUGUUUCCUUUCUCGCUAAAGGAUAUUGCUAAGACCCAGUUCACUUAUCUUGCUCCUGGUUGUGUGCGUAGCCCCCAGGAUAUGGUCUACUACUGCCAUAAGAAGCAAGCUGCCUUGCAGGAAAUAUACAACUUUGCUCAAGCUGAAGAAGAGAGUCUCCCACAAGCUUGGGGGAGGCUCAUCUAGCUACUGAAUGCUUUGCCUGAUCACCCUCUUGAGAAGAACGAAAUACUUGAUAUCUUCUAUAAUGGACUUACCGAUGCUUCCAAAGACCAUCUAGAUAGUUGUGCUGGUAGUGUUUUUAGGGAAUGAACUGUAGAACAAGCUGAGAUUCUGCUGAAAAACAUCUUGUGCAAUGAGAAUGCUUGGACUAUUCCGGAACCACCUCCUAACCCAACUCCGAAGAAAAGAGGUAUUCUAUUCCUCACUCCCAAAUAUAUGCAAGAAGCCAAGAAAUCUAUGCGAGAGAAAGGCAUUAAAUCUGAAGAUGUCAAAAAUCUACCACCUAUCGAAGAUAUCCAUGGUCUCGAUAACCCGAUACAGGUAGUAGAAGUAAAUUCUCUGUGUAGGUUUGAUGAGAGUGAUAUUCCUUUUGAUAAACCUGCUAGCUUAUGCUUGGAUGAAUUUGAUAACUUCGUUGCCAAACAACAGAGUUUCAAUGAUUAUUGUUAGCAGACAAUUGGAAAAGAAUGCUCGUAUGCUUAGUCAUUUAAGUGCUUGUGUGGACAGAGACGUCAAUGAUCUUAAGCUUCUGAGUAAACAUGCUUCUAUGGUUACUACUCAGGUAGAACAAGUACUUAAAACUCAAAUGACUUGCUCAAUGAGUUGAAUGACACUUCCGUCAGAAUCGUCACUAGAGGCGGUAGAAUGACCCAGGAACCUUUGUAUCCUGAGGGUCAUCCGAAGAGAAUUGAACAAGAGUCUCAAGGAGUUAGCACUGAUGCACCUAGUCAUCCUAGAAAGAAGAAGAAAGAUGAUAGGAACCUGCACGCUAGCAACCCUGUUGCUGCUACACCUGAGAGUCCAAACGAUGCCUCUGUCUCUGAUGCUGAAACACAAUCUGGUGAUGAACAUGAGCCUAAUGAUAAUCUCAAUAGUGAUGUUCAUGAUGAUGCUCAACCUAGCAAUGAAAAGGAUGUGGAGAUUGAACCUAGCGUUGAUCUUGAUAACCCACAGCCUAAGAAUAGAAGAUACGAUAAGAAUGACUUCGCUGCUAGGAAGCACGGUAAGGAAAGGGAGCCAUGGGUUCAGAAACCUAUGCCCUUUCCUCCCAAACCAUCCAAGAAAAAGGAUGAUGAGGAUUUUGAGCGCUUCGUUGAAAUGAUCAGACCUGUUUUCUGCAGAUGCGUUUGACUGAUAUGCCCAAGAUGUCCCCGUAUGCUAAGUACAUGAAAGAUAUUGUGACUAAUAAGAGGAGGAUACCUGAUCUUGAGAUCUCUGCCAUGCUUGCUAACUAUACCUUCAAGGGUGGAACUCCGAAGAAACUAGGUGAUCCCGGUGUGCCCAAUAUACCUUGCUCCAUUAAAGGCAACUAUGUUAGAACUGUGUUGUGCGACCUUGGAGCUGGUGUUAGUGUUAUGUCUCUCUCUCUUUAUCGUAGGCUUGAACUGGAUAAGUUGACACCCACUGAAAUCUCUCUGCAAAUGGAUGACAAAUCAACUGCUUUCCCUAUCGGCAUUUGCGAGGAUGUGCCUGUUGUGGUUGCUAACACCACUAUCUUAAUAGACUUUGUUAUCUUGGAUAUUCCCGAGGAUGAUGCCAUGGCUGUCAUCCUCGGAAGACCCUUUUUGAACGCCGCAGGGGCUGUUAUAGAUUGCAACAAAGGCAAUGUCACUUUCCAUGUCAACGGUAAUGAGCAUACGGUGCACUUUCCAAAGAAACAAUAUCGAGUACAUUGCAUAAAUGCUAUCGAAAAGACUUCAUCGAUUCUUAUUGGGAGCUUUGAAUGCCCUAUUCCUCGUGUCAAGAUGAAGUAUGAUUUUCUUGUUGGGGAGAUACACAUCCCCAUUGAGGUGACCUAGUGACUAUUCGGAAAUUCUCCGUUCUCUUUUGCGAUUCGAAAAGGUUUUUCAAAGAGGCUUGAUCAACCUCACUGACGAGUUUCUUUCAAUGACCAUGAGAUGGAUGAAUCGCGGAGUCACAAACCUCUGUUCCAAGCUUUCACUUUAGGUUGCUUAGAAGAAAAAUGAUAGAUUUAGUUUAGUUUUCCCUGUUUUCUGUUUCAGCAUCCGUUAGAAAAAUACCCCGAAAAUAAAAGUUCUCUGAACGUCCUGAAAAUCAAGUAUGACUUUUUCUGGAAUAUUUGAAAAAUACUGGGACAAAGAGUGUGUCUGGGGGGCACACCAGUGGGCCACAAGCCCUAGGGGCGCAGGCACCCCCCUGGCCACACCACCCAGGCUUGUGGGGCCCACAGGCACCCCCUCCACUCAUUCUUGCUCCCAUCUAGUUCUCCUACCUCCAGAAAAAAUCGUUUCGCAGCUCAAACCCGUGUUCUUGCUCCUCUUGGUGGGUUUUUCGAUCUCUUUGCUCAAAUCACCGUUCUCCGAACUGUUUUGGGGAAAUUACUCCUUGGUAAGUGACUCCUCCAUUGGUCCAAUUAGUUUUUGCUCUAGUGCCUUAUACUCCGCGUAUUUUUUGUUGCCUCGGUGACCAUGUUCUUGAGCUUUGUAUGCUGAUUCUAGCUGGUCCCAAGUAGUUUUGAUGCGUAAUAUGGUCUCUAGGCACUUGUUCGAGUAGUUGCUACGAGUUUCGUUGGGCCUUAUUCACUUUUUUUUUUGACCGGCUACUGNNNNNNNNNNNNNNNNNNNNNNNNNNNNNNNNNNNNNNNNNNNNNNNNNNNNNNNNNNNNNNNNNNNNNNNNNNNNNNNNNNNNNNNNNNNNNNNNNNNNCUCGUGAGAACAAAAAGAGCAGAGGAACAGUAGCACGCAGCCAUGGAAACCAUGUUGACGAGAAAGGAAUAAGCAGAAAUAGUCUGAAGCACAAGCUCGGCAAAAUUGAUAAAUUUAACUCAGAAGCCAAAGUAUUUCACAAACUGAACUGUGUUUAAAAAAUCACCCAACUAACCCUUUUGUGUGGCGCCCGAUGAUACGUCUCCGUCGUAUCUACUUUUCCGAACACUUUUGCCCUUGUUUUGGACUCUAAUUUGCAUGAUUUGAAUGGAACUANNNNNNNNNNNNNNNNNNNNNNNNNNNNNNNNNNNNNNNNNNNNNNNNNNNNNNNNNNNNNNNNNNNNNNNNNNNNNNNNNNNNNNNNNNNNNNNNNNNNNNNNNNNNNNNNNNNNNNNNNNNNNNNNNNNNNNNNNNNNNNNNNNNNNNNNNNNNNNNNNNNNNNNNNNNNNNNNNNNNNNNNNNNNNNNNNNCAGAUUUUUUCUGGAAUAAAAGAAAAAUAACUGCGCAAAGUUCCACGUGAGGGGGCGUGCCAGUGGGCCACAAGCCCACAGGCCGCGGCCACCCCCUAUGGUCGCACCGUGCAGGCUUGUGGGGCCCACGUGGCACCACCGCCCCCAAAUCUCAGCUCUAUAUCUUACGUUUCGCCUGGAAAAAAAAUCAGAGAGAAGGUUUCAUCGCGUUUUGCGAUACGGAGGCCCCGCCACAUCCUGUUCUUCAUCUGGAGGGCAGAUCUGGAGUCCGUUUCGGGCUCCGAAGAGGGGAAAUCGUCGCCAUCAUCAUCAUCAACCUUUCUCCAUCGACAAUUCCAUGAUGCACUUCAUCGUUCAUGAGUAAUCUCAUCGUAGGCUUGGUGGACGGUGAUGAGUUGGAUGAGAUCUAUCAUGUAAUCGAGUUAGUUCUUGAUGGGGAUNNNNNNNNNNGAGAGGGGAAAUUGUCGCCAUCGUCAUCAUCAACCUUUCUCCAUCGAUAAUUCCAUGAUGCUCUUCAUCGUUCGUGAGUAAUCUCAUCGUAGGCAUGCUGGACGGUGAAGAGUUGGAUGAGAUCUAUCAUGUAAUCGAGUUAGUUCUUGAUGGGGAUUGAUCCCUAGUAUCAACUACGUUCUAGAUUGAUGUUGCUACUACUUGCCUAUGCUUAAUGCUUGUCACUAGGGCCCGAGUGCCAUGAUUUCAGAUCUGAACCUAUUAUGUUGUCGCCAAUAUAUGUCUGCUUUAGAUCCUAUCUUGCAAGUUGUAGUCACCUACUAUGUGUUAUGACCCGGCAACUCCGGAGUGACAAUAGCCGGAAACACUCCCGGAGAUGACCAUGGUAUGAGGAGUUCAUGUAUUCACCGCGUGUUAAUGUGUUGGUCUGGUUCUUUAUAUUAAGGAGAACCUUAAUAUCCCGUAGUUUCCAUUAGGACCCCGCUGCCACNNNNNNNNNNNNNNNNNNNNNNNNNNNNNNNNNNNNNNNNNNNNNNNNNNNNNNNNNNNNNNNNNNNNNNNNNNNNNNNNNNNNNNNNNNNNNNNNNNNNAACUUUUGAUCCGUAGCUCCGUUGGAGAUGNNNNNNNNNNACAAUUUCAUUUUCUCUUGCUGGUUGUUUGUUUUGAAGUGCUCGUGACCGUCGUUGCACACAUAUUGCAGCCAUGACAUUAUAUCUUGCGGUGCUUGUAACUUUUGAUCCGUAGCUCCGUUGGAGAUGUUCUUUAUGUCUAGAUUGCUUGCCAUGACGCGUAGAACCACGUGAACCUAUUUGUUUUUCUGUUUAACAACUAAUUAAAUUUGUUAAUUCAGAUCUGGACAGAAUUGAAAAUAAAAGUGAGGUCGUCUCGGAGAUGCUAUAUGUCAUUUCCGACCUCAUUUAAAAUGUCUAGAUAGGUAGUUUAAUUUCCGCUUCACCUCUUGCAUGUAUGACAACAUUAAUAUUGCCGUGUAAAUACUCGGGAUAGAACUAAAUAAAUAAGCGUGAAGUUUCGUCAAUAUGCAACUCGUUGCAUAUUGAACUUCACUUAAGGUGNNNNNNNNNNGUUUGUUUUGCUGUUUAACAACUAAUUAAAUGUGUCAAUUCAGAUCUGGACAGAAUUGUAAAUUAACAUGUGAGGUCGUCUCGGAGAUGCUAUAUGUCAUUUCCGACCUCAUUUAAAAUGUCUAGAUAGGUAGUUUAGUUUCCGCUUCACCUCUUGAAUGUAUGACAACAUUAAUAUUGCCGUGUAAAUAAUCGGGAUAGAACUAAAUAAAUAAGCGUGGAGUUUCGUCAAUAUGCAACUCGUUGCAUAUUGAACUUCACUUAAGGUGUGGUGUUUGUUUGUGUGAAUUGUCAUGUUGUGACUUGCUUGCAUUCAGCUGCUCAUGCAUCAUAUGUGUUGUGCAUCGUGUGGUGAAUUUCGUGUGUUGAUGUGUGUUUCCGGUUUGCUUCGUCUCGAUAGAGUUCCGCAGCGUGCCGGAUUGUGAGGACCCAUUCGACUACGUCGGUUCGUCUGCUUCACGAGGCAUUCUUCUUCCAAGCGGGAUCUCAGGCAAGAUGAUCAUUUCCUCAGAUACCAUUACUAUCAUUGCCAUACUAGUUUUACCGCUUCUAUCGAUUAUGUCUCGUUGCCUACCACAUGUUAAAUAUCAGCCUCUCAACAAUGCCUUGUUUACCUUCAACCUGUUUGACCUAGCAAACCACUGAUUGGCUAUGUUACCGCUUGCUUAACCAUGUUGUUAGCGUUGCUAGUUGCAGGUGCAGUUGCUUCCAUGUGAUAACAUGGGUUCCUUGUCAUAUUACUAUAUUAAUGCUAUUUAAUUUAAUGCACCUAUAUACUUGGUAAAAGGUGGAAGGCUCGGCCUUUCUAGCCUGGUUUUUUGUUCCACCUUUGCCCCCUUAGUUUCGGCUACCGGUGUUAUGUUCCAUAAUUGAGCGCUCCUAACACGAUCGGGGUUGUUAUGGGGACCCCCUUGAUAAUUCGUUUUAGAUUAAAGCUGGUGUGGCAAGGACCAACAUUGGUUUUACAUUUGCCCAACAUAAUAAUUUGAUAAUACUGAAAUGCAUAGGGAGUUAGCGCUACCUGAGGAGUAAUUUUACAUAAACAGGGGGGCCAGUGCUGAUGGUGUUGGUCCCAAACGGUCUGCCUAUGGGGCCACCGCGAGGAAACUCGAGGUUUGGCACUCGUAGCUAGUUCCAUCCGUCGUGUCCUGAGAAUGAGAUACACGGCUCCUAUCGGGUACAUCAACACGUCGGGCGGCCUUGCUGGUUAGUUUUACCUUUGACGAGAUAUCUUGUGCAUCGGGAUUCCGGUGAUNNNNNNNNNNCUUAGCGCUACCCGAGGAGUAAUUUUACAUAAACAGGGGGGGCCAGUGCUGAUGAUGUUGGUCCCAAACGAUCUGCCUGCGGGGCCACCGCGAGGAAACUCGAGGUUUGGCACUCGUAGCUAGUUCCAUCCGUCGUGUCCUGAGAACGAGAUACGCGGCUCCUAUCGGGUGCGUCGACACGUCAGGCGGCCUUGCUGGAUUAGUUUUACCUUUGACGAGAUAUCUUGUGCAUCGGGAUUCCGGUGAUGCUUUGGGUAAUCUCAGAGUUGAGGUUUUCCUCUAAGGAAUUCAACGAGAUUGCGAGCUUUGUGAUCGAGGAUUUCUAUGCGGCUUGUGGUAAUUUGUGAUGGACUAGUUGGAGCACCCCUGCAGGGUUAAAUCUUUUCGNNNNNNNNNNNNNNNNNNNNNNNNNNNNNNNNNNNNNNNNNNNNNNNNNNNNNNNNNNNNNNNNNNNNNNNNNNNNNNNNNNNNNNNNNNNNNNNNNNNNCACACAAAGCAUUCCUCCGGUGUCAGUGAGNNNNNNNNNNGAGAUACCUGUAGGGCAUCUUUAUAGUCACCCAGUUACGUUGCAACGUUUGAUACACACAAAGCAUUCCUCCGGUGUCAGUGAGUUAUAUGAUCUCAUGGUCAUAGGAACAAAUACUUGACACACAGAAAACAGUAGCAACAAAAAGACACGAUCAACAUGCUACGUCUAUUAGUUUGGGUCUAGUCCAUCACAUAUUCUCCUAAUGAUGUGAUCCCGUUAUCAAGUGACAACACUUGCCUAUGGUCAGGAAACCUCGACCAUCUUUGAUCAACGAGCUAGUCAACUAGAGGCUUACUAGGGACAGUGGUUUGUCUAUGUAUCCACACAUGCACUAUGUUUCCAAUCAAUACAAUUAUAGCAUGGAUAAUAAACGAUUAUCAUGAACUAAGAAAUAUAAUAAUAACUAAUUUAUUAUUGCCUCUAGGGCAUAUUUCCAACAAAUCUAGCAAUGAGAGAUGAAAGGACAAAGUUGCUAACCUUUGUGAACACUUGGAUGGAUGGGACGCUCAAAUCUUGACAAAUCUAGUGUGGGGGGNNNNNNNNNNUGACACGAUCAACAUGCUACGUCUAUUAGUUCGGGUCCAGUCCAUCACGUGAUUCUCCUAAUGACGUGAUCCAGUUAUCAAGCAACAACACCUUGUAUAUAAUUAGAAGACCCUGACUAUCUUUGAUCAACUGGCUAGCCAACUAGAGGCUUGCUAGGGACAGUGUUUUGUCUAUGUAUCCACACAUGUAUAUAAGUCUUCAUUCAAUACAAUUAUAGCAUGGAUAAUAAAUGAAUAUCUUGAUACAGGAAUUAUAAUAACAACUAUAUUUAUUAUUGCCUCUANNNNNNNNNNNNNNNNNNNNNNNNNNNNNNNNNNNNNNNNNNNNNNNNNNNNNNNNNNNNNNNNNNNNNNNNNNNNNNNNNNNNNNNNNNNNNNNNNNNNACUCGGUAAUACAACAUCACACACAAGCCUUGCAAGCAAUGUGACUUAGUGUAAGUUGCGGGAUCUUGUAUUACGGAACGAUUAAAGAGACUUGCCGGUAAACGAGAUUGAAAUAGGUAUGCGGAUAAUGACGAUCGAAUCUCGGGCAAGUAACAUACCGAAGGACGAAGGGAAUGACAUACGGGAUUAUAUGAAUCCUUGGCAGUGAGGUUCAAACGAUAAGAUCUUUGUAGAAUAUGUAGGAUCCAAUAUGGGCAUCCAGGUCCCGCUAUUGGAUAUUGACCGAGGAGUCACUCAGGUCAUGUCUACAUAGUACUCGAACCCGCAGGGUCUGCACACUUAAGGUUCGACGUUGUUUUAUGCGUAUUUGAGUUAUAUGGUUGGUUACCGAAUGUUGUUCGGAGUCCCGGAUGAGAUCACGGACGUCACGAGGGUUUCCGGAAUGGUCCGGAAACGAAGAUUGAUAUAUAGGAUGACCUCAUUUGAUUACCGGAAGGUUUUCGGAGUNNNNNNNNNNNNNNNNNNNNNNNNNNNNNNNNNNNNNNNNNNNNNNNNNNNNNNNNNNNNNNNNNNNNNNNNNNNNNNNNNNNNNNNNNNNNNNNNNNNNCUACAAAUGAACUCUGAAAAGGUUGAAACUUGGCAUGGUAUCAUCAUUUCACCCACAUAGCAUGUGCUAAAAAGUUGGGAGUGUUACGGCAAAAAUUGUAUGCACUUCGUGUACAAAAUGGACAGUCUCUUUCGAAGUAUUACAGUUUCGAACGAACACCCAUCUCUUACAAAGGUAUUUCAUUUUUUUAAUAACCUAAAAAUUACCAAAUUUAAUAUAAUGAUAAAACACACUAAUAUUAAACAUCAGAAAAAAGAAUGACUAAAAAUAUAUAUUUUUAAUGCAAAGUUAUUCACAAACUAGUGAUUCACACAAAUUUCAAAAUAAAUAAAUUUAAACUAUGUAAAUUUUAAAACUACUAGCACUAACAGAAAUUUUGUCGUUUUUUGACCUAAACCAAAAAGAUUCAUCCAAAAACUAUAAAUAGUCUAACAGUUAUUCCAAAUUUAAAAACAAUAACUCUCAUGUUUAGAAAAACCAAAACAAUAAAAAAGAAAAAACAGACCUUUAGUCCCGGCUGGAGCCACCCACCGGGACUAAAGCUCCCUUCCGUGCGGAAUUUUGGGCAGCCAAAAAUNNNNNNNNNNNNNNNNNNNNNNNNNNNNNNNNNNNNNNNNNNNNNNNNNNNNNNNNNNNNNNNNNNNNNNNNNNNNNNNNNNNNNNNNNNNNNNNNNNNNAGAGAGAGAGAGAGAGGACUAGAGAAAGUUGUCGUAGUACACGGGUAGCGAUCUAUUCUUCGUUUUUUCCAAAUUGGCCAAGUAUAUCAACCAUAGACUUGUAUUGGUGCCUUGGCUCAUGGCACCAACCAAAUGANNNNNNNNNNNNNNNNNNNNNNNNNNNNNNNNNNNNNNNNNNNNNNNNNNNNNNNNNNNNNNNNNNNNNNNNNNNNNNNNNNNNNNNNNNNNNNNNNNNNNNNNNNNNNNNNNNNNNNNNNNNNNNNNNNNNNNNNNNNNNNNNNNNNNNNNNNNAGAGAAGGCAUGGCAAGAGCAAGUUUCGUCUGAUAGUACGACGCUGCCACGAUCAUGAUCAUGCACAUCUAACUACUUUUGCUACCUAGACAAGACACACUGAUUCAACAUAACUACACUCCGACUGCCUCUCCCACUGACACUGCCUUGCUGUCGACGCACCUCCGGGUAACCGUACCGCCCGCUCGCAUCGCCGCUACCUCAUUGCCUUCCUUGGUCAUCGCCACCCUUCUGCCCGACGCCGAGCCUGUUCGGCCCCCGUCGUCGUCGUCAGAAACAAGGUGAAACGUCGUCGCCAUAGCCGAUUCAUCGGAUUGCUUCGCAUCUUCUUCUUUUUUCGUCGCCAUUUCCUGCCAAUUUUGAUGGGAAAGUAUGGGGGGNNNNNNNNNNNNNNNNNNNNNNNNNNNNNNNNNNNNNNNNNNNNNNNNNNNNNNNNNNNNNNNNNNNNNNNNNNNNNNNNNNNNNNNNNNNNNNNNNNNNCAUAAACUAGGGUUUAAGCUUCUGUCACUCUAGCAACCCAUCAUCUACUUACUACUUCCCAAUGCCUUCCUCUAGGCCCAAAUAAUGGUGAAGUGUUAUGUAGUCGACGUUCACAUAACACCACUAGAGGAGAGACAACAUACAACACAUCAAAAUAUCGAACGAAUACCAAAUUCACAUGACUACUUAUAGCAUGACUUAUCCCAUGUCCUCAGGAACAAAAGUGACUACUCACAAAGCAUAAUCAUAUUCAUGACCAUAGAGAUAAUGAGUAGCAUCAAAGAUAUGAACAUAUAAUCUUCCACCAAGUAAUCCAACUAGCAUCAACUACAAAGAGUAAUUAACACUACUAGCAACCUUACACGUACUAAUCGGAGUCGUGAGACGGAGGUUGGUUACAAGAGAUGAACUAGGGUUUGGAGAUGAGAUGGUGCUGAUUAAUAUGUUGAUGGUGAUGAGUCCCCUCUGAUGAGAGGAGUGUUGGUGAUGACGAUGGCGAUGAUUUCCCCCUCCGGGAGGGAAGUUUCCCCAGCAGGACGACCUUGCCGGAGCUCUAGAUUGGUUAUGCUCAAGUUCCGCCUCGUGGCGGCGGCGAUUCCUCCCGAAAGCCUCCUCUUGAUUUUUUUGGAACGAAACCCUCCUUAUAGCAAAAGAGGGGAGCCAGAGGGCCAACAGGGAGCCCACAAGCCCCCUAGUCGCGGCCAGGGGGGUAGGCCGCACCUAGCAGGCUUGUGGCCUCCUGCUGGCUCCCCUCUGGUACUUCUUCAGCCUAGUAUUUUUUAUAAAUUCCAAAAUAAAUCCUCGUUGAUUUUCACGGCUUUUGGAGUUGCGCAGAAUAGGUAUCUCAAACUUGCUCCUUUUUCAGGCUAGAAUUCCAGCUGUCGGCAUUCUCCCUCUUCAUGUAAACCUUGCAAAAUAAGAGAGAAAAGGCAUAAGUAUUGUACCGUGAAGUGUAAUAACAGCCAAUAAUGUGAUAAAUAUCAACAUGAAAGCAUGAUGCAAAAUGGACGUAUCAGUGGUAUGAGAGCUUUGGUCUCCAUUGCAUUGGUUUCACAACCUAAGAGAGUAUGGCGUCUAGUGAGGGAAAUUAUCACCGUAGAGGUCCAUAUUUUGAUGGUACGAACUUCGCUAGUUGGAAGCAUAAGAUGGAAAUGCAUAUGCUUGGUCAUAAUCGUGCCGUUUGGGCUGUUGUUCGUUUUGGUGUGCAAGGUGAUUUCUUCGGAGAAGGAAGAGAACCGGAUCGCGAUGCGACAACAUAAGAAUUGAAGAUGUUGCAAUACAAUGCUGAAGCCUCCGACAUCAUGUUCAACUGCUUGCGCCCCGAAGAAUUCAACAAAAUCAGCCGCCUUGAGAAUGGAAAGGAAUUUUGGGAUACUUUGAUUGAUAUGCACGAAGGUACAUAUUCCGUUAGGGAAUCUAAGUUGGAUGUGCUUCAAAGUCAGCUUGACGAGUUCAAGAUGAAGGAUGGUGAAGGAGUCGCUGAGAUGUACUCUAGGCUAGCUCUCAUCACAAAUGAGAUUGUCGGCUUAGGAAGUGAAGAUAUGACCGACAAAUUCAUCAUAAAGAAGAUACUUGGAGCCUUGGAUUGAAGGUACCACACGGUGUGCACAUUAGUUCAAAGGAAGCCAAACUACAAGGAUCUCAAGCCAACUGAAGUCAUUGGAAGGAUUGUUGCUCAUGAAAUAUCACUCAAGGACAAAGAUGAGUUGCACAACAAGUCAAGCGGUGCUUACAAAGCUUCAAUUGAUACUCCCGCUACUUCAAAUGACAACCUUGUUACCAAUGAAGAGAUUAGACUCAUGGUCAUAAAAUUCAACAAGUUCUACAAAAGUAGAGGCAAGGAGAGAAGCUCAAGCUCAAGAUAUGAUGAGAAGUGUUCGUCUAGUCAUGAUCGAAACUCCUACAACUGUGGAAAGCCCGAACACUAUUUCAAUGAGUGCUCGGCUACCCACAAAAUAAGAGAAGAGUCACCUAGAAGACAAAGCUCAAGAGAUUAGUCACCUCGCAAAGAGAGAAGGAGUAGAGAAGAUCAUUAUGAAUGAAGACACUCCCGGAGAGGAAAGGAAUCGGAGAGGAAGGACAAGUACACCAAGAGCACCUCAAGAAGAAGACAUCAUGCUCACGCUGGUGAAUGGGUUUGCGGCUCCAAGUUUGGCAACCUAUCUGAGAGAAGCUACAACUCCAACUCCAACUAUAGUCAGGAUGAAGGUGUUGCCGAUCUUGCACUCAUUUCCUCCAACUCUUAUGGCUUAUUUGAUUCACCAAAUGAAGGGAUUGGAAACUUCUUCAUGGCAAAAGGCCCCAAGGUAUCAUACACCAAGUACUUUGACUUUGAUAGUUACGAGGAUGACUUGUUAGGAGAAGAUGACUUGCUCCUUGAUAAGACUAGUGAUAACUUUGAAAAUGAAAGAAAUCGAAUCAUGAUGAUGAGAAAGAGAUUGAAAGACUAACUAAAGAAUUAAACACUCUUAAGUUCGCUCAUGAAACUACUCUAGAAGAUCAUAGAGAGAUUGCAAGAACUCAUGAGAAGCUAUGCUUCGAGAAGCUAAAUUUAGAGAAUGAGCAUGAAUUUCUACAAGCAAUCAGUGAUGAUCUUCAAAAGAAGAGUUCUUCUUAUCUAGCCAAACGAUUACUCUUGUCUACUUUUUUUCCACAAGUUAAACCUAAGAACACUUGUAACAAAGGCAAGAAAGUUUCUUCAUCUAGUAACAACAAUACUAAAUUUAGAUCAAAUGAUGUUGUUGCUAGUAGAUCUCUUGAUUCCACUAAUGAUUCUCUUAGCCAAGUUACUGUUAAGCAAGAAAAUGAAUUAUUGAAAGGAAUUAUAGAGAGAGGUGUUUUCAAGAGUCUAGCUGGAAGUAAGCAAUUUGAGGAAAUUGUGCGCAAGCAAGGAGGACAUCAUAAGAAGCAAAGUGUUGGCUACUUCAAUGCCAACGGAGAUGAAUGGGAAGAAGGUCCAUAUCCCAUCCCAAAGUUCAUAUGUCUAGAGGAAAAGUAUGAUCCUACUCUUCCCAAGGGAACAAGCUCUCAAGAUGACCUUCAGCCACAAGAUCACACAGGCAAGGGCAAGCUUCAAGAGGAGAUUGACUCAUUUAAGGAAGAACCCGAACCCAAGGCCGAGCAGAUUCCCAAGGACACCACUAGCACUACCUCAUCUAGUGCAACCACAACUCCAAGGAUCCCCAUCAAGUUGAUGUGGGUCCCCAAGAGGAAGAACUAGAAAGUUCUUGAGGGGUGACUCCGCUAAUGAAAUUCACUCUUAUUCAUUUUGGCAAGAACUAUAUGCAAUCAACUCCAACCAUAUGCAUUAGUUCAAGGAGUCACACAUUCCCUCAAAGGUAAGCAAAGGACAAGGUAAUUAAUGCAUCUUUGGACAUCACAUCUCAUGCACUUCAUGCCAUGUUCAUAGAUAUUCUUGCAUGUGUUCCUUUNNNNNNNNNNNNNNNNNNNNNNNNNNNNNNNNNNNNNNNNNNNNNNNNNNNNNNNNNNNNNNNNNNNNNNNNNNNNNNNNNNNNNNNNNNNNNNNNNNNNCGGCGCCUCCGUAUCGAAAACGCGAUGAAAACUUCUCUUUUUUAUUUUUUCUGGACGAAAGACAACUUAUAGAGAUGGAGUUGGGGGCGGCAGGUGCUUGUGGGCCCCACAAACCUGCCCACCGCCAAGAGGGGGGUGGUGGCGGAGCAGGGGCUUGUGGCCCACUGGCCCACCCCCUGAGGUGGAACUUGGCGCAGAUAUUUUUUAUAUUUUCCAAAACUGCUCCCCGUAAAUUUUCAGGACGUUUGGAGAACUUUGAUUUCUGCACAAAAAUAACACCAAGGGAAUUCUGCUGAAAACAGCGUCAGUCCAGGUUAGUUCCAUUCAAAUCAUGCAAAUUAGAGUCCAAAACAAGGGCAAAAGAGUUUGGAAAAGUAGAUACGAUGGAGACAUAUCAGUGAGCACUAUCUAUGGCACGUUCAUAGCAUCUUCUUUGGCGACAAGAUUCAUGUGACCCUUCCUGUGAUUGUUGUUGGGGUCAAAGUUGUUGCGCUUUGGUGCUGGGUCAAAGCUAGGAGGGUUGGUUUUAGUUGUACCAUUCCCAACCUUUGGGCACUGUCGGGCGAAGUGUCUAGCUUCUCCGCAGGCAAAACAUGUGAUACCGGGGCGGGGAGUAAAAUCCUUGUUCCUCGCAUAAAAGUGGGUGUUGACUUUAUUUGCUAAUGUUGGAGUACGAGGAGUUUGAUUCUUUGUGUCCUUAGUCUUGUGCUUAAUGUUGUGUGUUGGUGCCAAGUUGUUAAGACGGCGGUUACGAAUGUCAUCCAAGCUGCGACGUUCGGCCUCCAGCAUGUUGGCCUUGUCCACAAGUGUUUUGAAGUCUAGAAAGGUGUGAACGACUAGCUGGCAUUUUAAUGCCGGAGCGAGUCCAUCCAGGAAUUUCUCUAUUCUUUUCUCUUCUGUCUUAUAGUCUUCAUUGCAUAACGGGAUAAUUGAUUAUACUGGUCCAGAUAUUCCAUUACAGUGGAACUCCUUUCUUUGAGGUCUUCGAAUUCCCUCUUCUUGAUUUUCAUGACGUUGUUUGGAAUGUGUGCCUGAUGUCAGCUAUGCUAAUGCACAAAAGUCCUUCCAAUGGCGCCAGAAACAGGUGUGUCGACGGCACCAGGAAUCCUUCAGCUGCGGCUACGCCUUAAGGGACUUCCUAGGCAAGUAUGCAAAGGAUUUCCCUCAUGGCCUUGGAGCCUUGCGUUGGUGUUCCCUUGAAGCGGAAAGGGUGAUGUAGCACAGCGAUGGUAAGUAUUUCCCUCAGUUUGAGAAUCAAUGUAUCAAUCCGGUGGAGGAGUAUCACAAGAUCCUGCACAAACACAAAAGCUUGCUCCCAACGCUAUGAAGGGGUUGUCAAUCCCUUAUAGAUUGUUUAACAAAUGAGAACUGAAAGCAANNNNNNNNNNNNNNNNNNNNNNNNNNNNNNNNNNNNNNNNNNNNNNNNNNNNNNNNNNNNNNNNNNNNNNNNNNNNNNNNNNNNNNNNNNNNNNNNNNNNNNNNNNNNNNNNNNNNNNNNNNNNNNNNNNNNNNNNNNNNNNNNNNNNNNNNNNNNNNNNNNNNNNNNNNNNNNNNNNNNNNNNNNNNNNNNNNNNNNNNNNNNNNNNNNNNNNNNNNNNNNNNNNNNNNNNNNNNNNNNNNNNNNNNNNNNNNNNNNNNNGUGGGUGAACAAAUUACUGUUGAGCAAUUUAUAGAACCGCGCAAAGUCGUGACGAUAUCUAUGCAAUGAUUAUAUUUAUAGGCAUCACGUCCAAAACAAGUAGACCGAUACUUUCUGCAUCUACUACUAUUACUCCACACGUCGACUGCUAUCGAGCAUGCAUCUAGUGUNNUAAGUCCAUAAGAACAGAGUAACGCCUUAAGCAAGAUGACAUGAUGUAGAGGGAUAAUCUCAAACCAAUGAUAAAAACCCCAUCUUUUUACCCUUGAUGGAAACUACUUGAUGUGUGCCUUGCUGCCCCUACUGUCACUAGGAAAGGUCACCACAUGGUAGAACCCAAAACCAAGCACUUCUCCCAUUNNNNNNNNNNNNNNNNNNNNNNNNNNNNNNNNNNNNNNNNNNNNNNNNNNNNNNNNNNNNNNNNNNNNNNNNNNNNNNNNNNNNNNNNNNNNNNNNNNNNNNNNNNNNNNNNNNNNNNNNNNNNNNNNNNNNNNNNNNNNNNNNNNNNNNNNNNNNNNNNNNNNNNNNNNNNNNNNNNNNNNNNNNNNNNNNNNNACUCGGAGAGACUUACGAGGAUAUCAAAUCAUGCAUAUAGGAAAUCAGCAAAGACUCAAAUAUAUAUCAUAGAUAAUCUCAUCACAAAUCCACAAUUCAUCGGAUCUCGACAAACACACCGCCAAAGAAGACUACAUCAGAUAGAUCUCCAUGAAGAUCAUGGAGAACUUUGUAUUGAAGAUCCAAGAGAGAGAAGAAGCCAUCUAGUUACUAACUACGGACCCGUAGGUCUGAAGUGAACUACUCAUGAGUCAUUGGAGGGGCGAUGAUGAUGAUGAUGAAGCCCUCCAACUCCAAAGUCCCCUCCGGUAGGGCACCGGGAAGGGUCUCCAGAUGAGAUAUCGCGGAAAAUGAAGCUUGCGGCGGCGGAAAAGUAUUUUUGAGGCUCCCUUGAUUUUUUGCGGAAUAUUUGGGAAUUUAUAGGCCAAAGAUCUAGGUUAGGGGGUGGCCAGGGAGGCCACAAGCCUGCCCACCGCCGCCUCCCCCCUGGUGGCGGAGUGGCGGCUUGUGGGCUCCCUGGAGCCCACCUGGCUUGGCCCAAAGGCCCCCUGAUCUUCUUCCGUUCGGGAAAAAAUCAUUUCGUGGUUUUUCUUCCAUUUGGACUCCGUUCCAAAAUAACAUCUGAAAAGAGUCAAAAACACGGAAAAAACAGGAACUGGCACUUGGCACUGAAUUAAUAAGUUAGUCCCAAAAAAGAUAUAAAAGGUACAUAAAACAACCAAAGAAGACAAGAUAACAGCGUGAAACCAUCAAAACUAAUAGAUACGUUUGAGACGUAUCAAGCAUCCCCAAGCUUAACUCCUGCUCGUCCUCGAGUAGGGAAGUGAUAAGAAUGAAUUUUUGAUGCUUUCAUGCUACCUAGCAUAGGUGUCCUUUGUAAUUCCUCUUAUGUGACGUGAAUGUUCAUAUACAUUAGAUUCAAAACAAUAGUUUGCUAUUGACGUGGAAACAAUAAUAAUUCAAGCAAACUAGCAAAGUAAUCAUGAACUUUCAAAAUGACAAGGCCAAAAGAAAGUUAUCCCUACAAAAGCAUGUAGUCUGGCUAUGCUCUAUCAUCAUUGCACAAUAAAUUUAAAUCAUGCACAACCCCGGUAUUGGCCAAGUAAUUAUUUCACACCUUUACUUUCUCAAACCUUUUCAACUCUCACGCAAUACAUGAGCGUGAGCCAUGGUUAUAGCACUAUAGAUGGUGUGGAAUGUAGUGGAGGUUGCAAGACAAAAAGGAGAAGAUAGUCACAUUAACUAGGCAUAUCAAUGAGCUCUGGAGAUGCUCAUCAAUAGAUAUUAAUGUGAAUGAGUAGGGAUUGUCAUACAAUUGAUGCACUAGAGCUACGAGUAUGUGAAAGCUCUUAAAGAAAACUAGUGGGUGUGCAUCCAACUUGCUUGCUCACGAAGACCUAAGGCAAUUUUGAGGAAGCCUAUCAUAGGAAUAUACAAGCCAAGUUAUAUAAUGAAAAUUUCCCACUAGCUAUAUGGUGGUGACAAAACGAGAGACUCUCAAUCAUGAAGAUCCUGGUGCUUAAUAUGCACAAGUGUGGAAAAAGUGGUCGCAUUGUCCCUUCUCUCUUUUUCUCUCAUUUUUUUCAUUUUGGUGGGCUCUUUGGCCUCUUUUUUUGGUGGGCUUCUUUGGNNNNNNNNNNNNNNNNNNNNNNNNNNNNNNNNNNNNNNNNNNNNNNNNNNNNNNNNNNNNNNNNNNNNNNNNNNNNNNNNNNNNNNNNNNNNNNNNNNNNNNNNNNNNNNNNNNNNNNNNNNNNNNNNNNNNNNNNNNNNNNNNNNNNNNNNNNNNNNNNNNNNNNNNNNNNNNNNNNNNNNNNNNNNNNNNNNNNNNNNNNNNNCAUCACACUUUCAACUUAAAACUUAGAGUAACAAUGACUUUAUAUGGAAUGCCUUCGGUAGUGUACCGUGGCAAUGAUCUAGCAUGGCAUAGACAUUAAUGGAAACAUCAUGCUAGCUAUCUUACGAUCAUGCAAUGACAAUGUAGACGUGGUGGCACAUGUCAUGGUGGUAGUUGCAUGGCAAUAUAUCUCGGAAUGACUUUGACAAAGCCAUAAUAGGUAGGUAUGGUGGCUGUUUUGAGGGAGGCUAAUGGUGGGUUUUGUGCACCGGCGAAAGUUGCACGACACUAAGAAGAUAAUGAUGGUGGAAGGUGAAAGUGCAUCUAAACCAUGGACUCAACAUUAGUCAUGAAGAACUCAUAUACUUGUUGCAAAAGUUUUAUUAGUAAUCGAAACAAAGCAUUCAACGCAUACUCCUAGGGGAAGGGUUGGUAGGUAUGAACCAUCGCGCGAUCCCGACUGCCCCGCAAAGGAUGACAAUGAAUAGACUAAUCAUGCUCAGGUUUCAUCACAUAGCGGUUCACCAUACGUGCAUGCUACGGGAAUCACUAACUUCAACACAAGUAUUUCUAGAUCCACAACACCUUACUAGCAUGACUUUAAUAUUACCAUAACCACAACUCAAAACUAAUUGGGAU
RNAcentral lists this long non-coding RNA (60543 nucleotides) under Hordeum vulgare. RNAcentral describes it as "long non-coding RNA (HVUL_LNC020151)". The record is from RNAcentral. Lineage: Eukaryota; Viridiplantae; Streptophyta; Magnoliopsida; Poales; Poaceae.